RNAcentral lists this long non-coding RNA (62761 nucleotides) under Malus domestica (apple). RNAcentral describes it as "long non-coding RNA (MDOM_LNC009399)". The record is from RNAcentral. Lineage: Eukaryota; Viridiplantae; Streptophyta; Magnoliopsida; Rosales; Rosaceae.
GCCAUAUUCUUUAACGAGUCCAGCACUGGAAAGAAAAACUUGGAUCGUGCAGACUUCAAAAAAAUGUAUAAUCUGAGACUGCUCAAUGUUGAUAAUUCUAUGUGGCAAAAUGCUGACAGUUCUAGAGAGUACUGCAAAUUGAACCUGUCUCUCUCUCUUCCCAAUUCUCUUCGUUAUCUUUCCUGGAAGGGAUAUCCUUUGAAAUCUUUGUCCCCAAAAUUUUCUCCUGAAAAUCUUGUUGAGCUUCAUAUGCCGGGCAGCCAAGUCACACAACUUUGGAAUGAAGGCCAGGUAUAUGUGUUUAUUAUAGAUUUUGUGAAAGAUACUAGUAGUGUAGAACUUAUUUAGACUAAGUUGUUAAUUCUUACCGUUUCUCUUUAAUUUGUUACAGAAACUUAUGAACUUAAAAGUGAUCAAACUUCGUUAUUCCAAAUGUCUAACUGCACUUCCAAACCUCUUGGAGAGUCCAAAUAUUGAGCACAUAGAUCUUUGCGGAUGUGAAAGUUUGGUUGAAAUCCCUUCGUAUUUUAAAGAUCUUGACAAGCUUACUUAUCUUGAUCUUUCGUGGUGCAAGAGUCUCGAGUAUCUUCCAGACAUGCCAGGCAACAUUGAAUUCUUAAGUUUAAGCGGCAGUGGCAUAAAGGGACUUGAUCUCACUGGUUGCACUAGAUUUUACAAAUUCCCUGAAAUAUUGGAGCCAAUGGAACACCUGAAGUUUCUUCGUUUAGAAGGGACAGCAGUUGAAGAGCUUCCCCAGUCUGUUGGAAAUCUAGUUGGCCUUCAAACAUUAGAUCUUGGUCGGUGCGAGAAACUCAAAGUUGUCCCAAGUAGCAUCUACAACUUAAGAAAUCUUAAAACUCUCAGCUUUAAUGGCUGUUGGAAACUUCAAAAUUUUCCUCAACCGACUGGCUCAGUUGGUUUGCUUUCUCUUGAAGUACUAGACCUCGGUGAAAGCGGAAUUUUACAAAUCCCUGAGGAUCUCAUUUGCUUAACAUCAUUAUUGGGUAUUAAUCUGAAUGGAACCAAAAUUCGGAGCGUACCCUCAACCAUCAAACAAGCUUCUCAGCUGUCUUGCCUCUUCUUAAUCGAGUGCACGAGCCUUGAAUCUUUACCAGAGCUCCCAGUGCUAAGUCGUCUUCAAGCAGAUGGGUGCAAGUCACUGAUGACAGUGUCAAGUUCAAUGACUGCAAUUACGCAAUGUUGGAAUAGAUAUCAAUUGCUUGAAGAGCAACUUCUCUUUUAUAAUUGCGGAAGGUUGGGUAAUGAUGCUGAUGCAAGAAGCAGCAUAAUGGUUGAGGCACAGCUUAGAAUCAUGCGAGUGGCAACUGCGUCUUCAAAGUUAAAAGAAAAGGAAGAUUACGUAUGUCUCUCUCUCUCUCUCUUUCUCUCUCUCUCUCUCUCUCUCUCUCUGUGUUAAGUAACAUGAUGUCAAUUGAUGUUGCAGCAAAAGUUUUCUGAGCCCUUAGUUACAAUUGUAUGUCCGGGAUAUGAAAUUCCAAAUUGGUUCGUACAUCAAAAUAAGGGGGCUUCGAUAAAUGUCAAGCUUCCAGCAAACUGGUUUCGAAAAGGUUUCUUGGGAUUCGCUCUAUCUGUUGUGGCAUCCGGACACCAAGAUAAAUCGGGAAAAGUCGCAUCCGGACGUCAAGAUCAACCAGGUAUGCAGUUUGAGUGCAAGUACAAUUUCAAAACUGAAGAGGGUCAAAGUCAUGGAAUCGAUUGUCCUGUCUUUGUCCCGUGCAAGGGUGGAAAUGGUGAUGGUUGCAAUUUAGAUUCAAAGCACGUGUUCGUAUUGUAUAAAGACCUUGAAUAUGAAGAGGGAGUAAAAUGGUCAUCGGAUUUUUACUGCCGUUUCACUGAGGUCUCUGUUCACUUCGAAACGAAACCUUUCCAGUACAACUAUACGGUGGAAAAUUGUGGAAUAUGCCUGUUAUAUGCCGAAGAUGCUGAGAAAUUAAAAUUUGAUGUCAUUUCGCGACAAUAACAAGUUAAGUCUGCAGCAAGUGGGAGUGUUGAUCCUGAAGCCAGUGGAAACAACUAAUCUGAGGAAGCAAGUGGAAGAGAUGGCUCUUGAUGAAGAAAGUGGAAGGGAUGAAUCUGAGUAAGCAAGUGGAAGCGAUGAGUCAGAGGACGAAAGUGGAAGCUCUGAAGCAAUGGAAGCUGCUAGGGAGUUGCCCUCUUAAUCGUCUGAGUUCUUUGUAACCACUUUUUGUUCUGCAAUUUAUUUGUACUUUAUUUUGUUACAAGUUCUUUUUAACCACUUUCCGUUAUGUAAUUCAUUUGUCGUUUAUGUUAUAAAUAAUCUACGAUGGUUAUGAGGACAGUUCAUGUAUAAAUAUUGUACUCUAUGUACAUUUGAGUGUUAAGGAAAAUCACUUUUCUACAUGGUAUCAUCUUUUCUUGCCUAAGUUUCGAUCUUGGAAUCCCUAGUGCUUUCCCUCAUGGCUGCUUCAAUAGAAUUUUGCGGCUUAAUUUUCAUGUAUUGCAUAAUUGGGAAUAUAAUACAUACAAUCCUUGUUCUCCAAGAUAAACCAAAAAAGGACAUAAGAAAAAUCCUUCCUAAUAAAGGUCGUACCCAGUGCACAAGGCUCCCGCUUUACGCAGGGUCUGGGAGAGGUGAAUGUCGGCUAGCCUUACCCCCAUUUAUGGAGAGGCUGCUCCCAAGUCUCGAACCCGAGACCUACCGCUCAUGGGCGAAGGCACUUGCCAUCGCACCAAGUGCGACCUAAUAUUUACACAAUAUUUACAUUCCUAUUCUAAAACCAACUCACGCAACAGCUUCUUCCUCUUAUUCUCUUCCUCCUACUCCAAACAUUGCCACCCUUGUUUCUGUCAAACUAACAGAUACCAACUACCUUCUAUGGGAAGGUCACUUCAAACCUUUACUUCGUGUGACUUUUACGGAACCUGUUCUCUCUCAGAUUGAUGGUCUUGCCACAUCCCAAGCUAUUUGGGUAUGUCUGGAGCAAAACUUUUCUCCAAUGUUCUCCGGAUUCGUCUAUUCUUGUUGCUUAAUGGGAUGCCGAUCGGGCAAGGUGUCUCGACACUUGUCAAUCCACUAUUGGCUACUGUGUUUUCUUGGGUCCUAACCUCAUUUCCUGGAGUGCUAAGAAACAACGUACUAUCUCCCGCUCUAGUGCUGAGGCCGAAUAUCGUGCUCUUGCAUAUACUUCUUUCAUAUCGGUUUCAUUGGCUCAUUUCCAAACUUGUCUACUCACAGGCAUCAAGUUUGUCGGGGAAGUGUUAGGGAGUUACCCUCUUAAUCAUCUAUUGAAUGAGUUUUUUGAAACCAAUUUCCGUUAUGCAAUUUAUUUGUACUUUAUUUUGUUAUAAGUUCUUUGUAACCACUUUCCGUUGUGUAAUUCAUUUGUCAUUUAUGUUGCAAGUAGUCAAGGAUGGUUAUGACGACAAUUCAUGUAUAAAUAUUGUACUUGGGUACAUUCAAUUGUUAAGGAAAAUCACUUUUCCUACAGAAGCGAUAAGUCGUUUGAGGAAGCAAGCGGAAGCGACGAGUCAGAGCAAGCAAGUGGAAGUGAUGAGUCUGUUGCUGGUUCAGGCCUCUCCUUGUUUUUAACUUCAAUCUAAAAAAUAAUUAAAGAUAAAAAAUCGAGUUCACCCAGUAUUCAACCACAAUUCCACAAUACAAGGUACAAUAUAUGGUACAUAGUUGAAAUUGACAAUUGAACUUCUAUGUAAGUACUAGCAAUUGAGCCUGCACAAUGUCACAAGUUUUAAAACUCUUUUAAAUGUGUGAAAUAUAUUAAAAUUUGUCUACAUCUAUCUCAAAAUCUAUUUACAUCGUAAUGUUCAUAAGAAACAAAAUAUAGGUAUAGGAUAUACAAGAAUUCAUGUCAGCGCGCUGCGGUGGGUUUGAAAAUUUCUCAUGUAAUUAACAAAUACAAAUAAAAAGAGGCAAGCAAAAGAGUCCAUGAAUUUCCAUAUUGCGUACCAAGUUGGCAAGAGUGGAGGAAUAUCUUUCUUAAGUCCAUGAAUUUCCAUAUUACGUAUCAAGAAAGAGAUUCCUCCGCUCUCAAUGUACCAGCUCAAAAGAAAGAGAUUCCUUCACUCUCAAUAUGGUUUAUCGUCUGCAAAUGCAAUAAAAGAAUCAGAAACAUUGCGAAACUGCCAAUUGUUGCAUGGCCCAAAUAUUUAUUUGAGACAGAAGAUAAGGUAACAUGUAGUCCUGAGUUGACAAAUAUGUAAUUGGUAAGUCAAAGAAUUUUCUUAUUCGAAUAAUGAAACUAAUUUUACGUCAUUUUAAGUAUUAAGAGAUUGGGUGCCUACUAAUUUAACAUAAAACUCAAAUCCACAUUAGGCUUACUUUCUUAUUCGAACCGAAAAACACAAUGAAAGAAGAAGUAAUAAUAACAUCGGUUCUAGAUAUAUUCGUCAUGUAAGAGUUCAUUCAUGUUACGAGUUCACUCAUCAGAGUUCAUUCAUUAGCUAAAAAAUGAAAUUUCAGAUUGACCCGUUACACAGUAGUCAUCCUCAUCAACGUAGAUGUCAUUCCCAUUUCACUCACUUUCCUCUUCUUAGUAGAUCUCCCGAACAUUUUUGUACCUAUAGUUUAAGGAAAGAAUUCUAACCCGCACAGAAUCGGGUCCCAAACAUACCCUUAAUUAUUGUAUUAGUUUCUUUCAUUAAGAAAUACCAACUGAAGUGGAAUUAUUGGGUUCUGUUUUCACUAUUUUCUGAUUACACUUCUUAAUUCAUUUCCUAUUUUCUAGUCAGAUUCCUAAUCUAAAAUCCGACUUUUAUGAUUGAGAAGUGAAUCUGACCACAAUACCACUUUGUCAAAUGGCAUAUUCAACAUGCAGAUAUAAGUUCUAUUCAAGUUUAUAACAAAUUCAUAUGAACAUUUCCAAGUAAUUCAUACAUAAUUAACUUCAAAAUAAACAUUUUUUUUAGCAAAUUGGGCUAAAACACCUGCUCUACAAAAAAAUUCUUUAAAUACUGAUUUCAAGCAAUUCAGUAACUAAAUGCUUAACUUAGAAAAAUACUCAAAUUUCAGCAAUUAGAUUUCUAACAUAACUUAAACAUUACAAAUUUAACUAAUUACAUUCAUCCAGAAUAUAGAUUUUCACAUAAUUUCAAAAGGUUCUCUCUUAAUCACACAAUUUGAAGAAACAAAAAAACCAAAUACAUACACGAUCACAAAGCUUAAUAACAGAACAGAAAUUUUAGACAUGCCAUCAGCCCAACCAAUAGACCUUCCCAGAAUCUGAAAAGCGUUUCUAUAAAUCCUGAUCUCAAGGCAACCCAAAAGCUGAAUUCUUAGCUUAAAUAAAGAUGCAAAAUUUUACUUUUUGGAAAUGCCAUUACCUGAAAGCUUAAGCAAAACCCAUGAAUCCAACCGCGCAAAAAAAAUGCAAACUUUCUCAUUGGCAGAUCAUUCAUAACCCAAAAAUCAUAUCUUAAGCAAAACUCAUGAAUCCAACUUUAAAAGGCCCAAUUCUAAACCCACCAAGAGAAAUAAAAUAUCAAAAACAGUUCAUCGUCUCUCUUUGCAUUUUAAAUCAUAUGGUCUUGUGUUUACUCGAAUGAAAAAAAAAAAGUAAACACAGAACUUAUGAUAAAAAUUCAAAUAGGCUAGAAGCCAGCAAGCGAAUGAAUUUAUAAAUUAGAUAUACUGCCACAGAAAUAAUGACCUUGGUAUUUCACAAACUUUGCAUAAGCUGAUCCUGAAGGCACAAUUUGAAGCACCAGUCUUGAAAACUGCAAAUAACCAACAACUUGUUAGAGCGGUAAAAACUCUAUAUAUAAUGCCUGGUUUUGACACUGUAAAAAAUAAUAUAAAAACAGAGCGAUCAAUUUUCAUCAGUAAACAUACCCAUAACCGUAAUGUCAGCCCAAUACUUCUUCAGCAAAGCAUCAACAUUAGCUAUAGCCUGUAAAAAUAAAAUAAAAAUCAAACUUUUUACCUGGAUCAUCACACAAUGGCAACUACAAAAAAUACCCAGAUAAAAACUGAAUGAAAAAAAUUACCUGUCUCAUGCCCUCGGAGUGAUAGGGUUCCCAUCGGUGAUGAGCAACAGAAGCAUGAUAUACAACGACCCAACGCCGAAUUAUCAUCCAAUCAUAUUUUACACAGGUAAUAAAUAUUUUAUAUCUAUACAUAUAAAAAAAAUUCAACUGACAACAGCACCACAUCCAAUUUGAAUCUAUAAUGCUAUGAUAAAGAACGAAGUAAGAGUUAGUUACUAGAAACCCAGAUUCUAUUGGUGUCAUUACCCAAUCUUGUAUUCGAUCAUAUACCAAGAUAUUGAAGCUAACAUUUUUAAUCUAAAAGCCUAGAAAUCAUAAGAAAAACAAAUGUUGAACUCACAGUAAUCUCAGCCAGCAAUGACCUCUGUAUCCCCAAAAAAUUAUAAAUUAAUACAUAGUCCAUACUCCAUACUCCAUACUCCAUACUCCAUACACAAACCAAAAAAUAAAAAAAUAAAAUAAAAUAAAAUAAAAUCUUUUUCAAUCAUUUUCUCAUCAACCAAAUUGAGCACAAGAUUGGGAAAUGAUUAAUCACCUGUAUGGGGAACUUCAUGGCCAACAAAGCCUGACACGAUCUCCCAUAAUUUCCUCAUAAUUCAUUUUUCUCAUAAUUUAUUGGAAAAAUGCAGAAUUUGGAUGGUUGUGGUCCUUACAUACAUGUCGAGCCAAAAAUAAUCACAAGGCGACACGUGGAUUUUUGGACAAAAGAGGGCAAAAAUACUCUUAAAGUACAACGGGAUUCCUAUUCGCAAGUCAUUCUUCAACCAAAUAAAAAAUGCCCAAAAUAGAUAACAAAUUCAAAAUUAUUUCAUCCAUCCUCAUCCUAUAUUUUCUACAAGGUAAUCAUUCCAUAACUUACAAAAUAUUUCACAUAAAUCACAUAACCCCCAAAAUAUUUAUUCCUAAAAUGUGUUGAUUAACCAAUUAAUGGAUUAAUUGCCUAAUUAAUCCAUUAUAUCACACAUUAAACCAUAAGUUAUACCCUCUCCUAUAAAAACCCUAUUUUCUUCUCCAAAAGGCACUUCCAACGCUCUUGAAAAACUCUCUAAACAUUUUUCUCUCUAAAUUCUAACUUUGACAUCGGAGGUUCUUCGGCUAAACAUUUUUACGCUCUUGAAAAACUCUCUAAACAUUUUUCCCCCUUCCCUUUCUUCGACGACCGACACGUGCACAAUAGGGGCAAACGCAUAGAAUUCCAUCUUCUACCAAAUAUUCAGCUCGCGGAAAUAGAAAAGGUGAGAAAAAUGAAAAUAUUGAAUUCAACUCACACAAAACCAAAAAGGAAGACAGACAGAUUGCAGACCCUUUCCAUUUGGCAAGUAAUGCCAAUUAUACUAGAAGUAUGCCUAACUUACAAAAGCCUAAAAUCCUAGAAAAACAGGAGUAGAGGAAAUGGGCUCAAUACAAAAAUUUACCAAAUAAGAAUGAUGAAUCCGUUAAAGUAGGAAAGUUUAGGCAUUCACCAAUAUUCCCACUUGAACAACAUUGAAUUUAGCAUUCGUCUUCAGAUGUCAUCUAGAUCCAUUCGUGGAGAGUGAGUGAGGGCUUAAUAAUCAAAACCAUGUCUUUUACUGCUAAAUUAUACGUAAGAAUCGUUAGAAAAAAGGCAAAGUGAAAAAAAUAAAGGAAUUGAAGAACUUAACGUAGAAACUCUAAAACAAACCCAAGUAACCCACAUGCCAAUCCAACCAAAAUCAAAUCGAAUACCUUUCAAGCUUCAUAUUACAAAUUAUCAACAAACCAUCAAAAGGAAAACCAAUUCAACCCACAUUCCAAUUCAACCAAAAUUCAACAACUUUGCCCGAAAUUAGAUCAACAAAAAGAGAAAUAGGGGAAAACCCACAUGCAAUAGGAGAGAAAUAGAGAGAGAUUUUAACUAACUUACCACUGUGUUGGAACUUCGAAAACACGAACUCUAGCACCAGUUCCUCUUACGCUAUUGACAAUGAAGUUGUGGUUCAAAGAAUCACAAUCAAUCAAGCCUACUUGUAAAGAAAAACAAAAUUUAGAAGGCAUUUGUUUAAGUAAAGAUGCAAACCUUCCCCUUUUUGACAUGAAUAAUAAAAGAGUUUGCGACAAAACCCAUUCCGAAAACUAUAGCAGCAUGUUCCUUUCUGCUUUUCCCUUUUACUGACUUCCAUAAUUAUCCCCGUAUGCACCAAAGAAACAUAAAAUGACAACCAAUGUGAUAGGUUACAAUAUCUGAACUCACUAUUCUAUUGCAGGCAAGGCAAGAAUGUUUACCAGCUUGGCUUCCUGCACCUUGACAACACGCAGAGAAAUUAAAUAUUUCUGUUCGGGCAAGAAAUUUGGCUAGUGAGCGAUCCUGGCUCGAGCACACAGCUCCCCGAGGAGUUAGCACUUUGGUUGAUUGUCGGGCUCCUGCUUGUCACGAUGCUGCAAGAGAAGAACAAAGUUAGUUCUAAAAGGCGCCUUUGUGGGGCCUUAGGUGUAGGCCUUGAGGCUUGCAAUCAAAACCAACUAAGUGAUUAGGCAUGCCACUGCCAUCUCUAUAAGGCAGAUGUAGAACAAGUGUGUUUUAAGCCGAUUACUUGCGCCCCAAGUUAUUUCUGACUUCUUGUUUAUCAAAGGAUUGUUGUAGAUGAGUUAAAUCUACAUUAAGUUCUUUUCUAUGCCUUGAGAUCAAGGAUUUUUAGUUAUCUUGUAUGUUUAAGGGAUGAAGGUCCAGAUCUGAUCAAGUCAUCAGUUUAACUGAUUUCAAUUUUCUUAUGACGAUUAAAUCAUUAAGUGAACUAGAUCUGAGAACUAAUGGGGGUUUGAGUCAUCAAAAGACUGGAAACAACUUGAAUAUAAACUGGGGAAUGCAUUAUAACACCAGAUCUAUUAAUUGAAAGACAAAACAAAGAGGGUCGGGUAAGAUUUUACCUUGUCGGGCAAGGUUAAAUGUCUUGUGGUCUUUUUUCUUUGUAGUUUCAAAAGGAUUGAGUACUAUAAGGGAUGACUGGAAAAGAGUUUAUACAAGAAAGAUCGACACUACAACAUUUAGGAAAAGGUAGCAGAGCUUUUACAUAGACAAAAAAUGCCUUUCUAAGGAAAUAUAAGGCUAAAAGGGUGCAGAGUCUGGACAAAGCACAACUUUCUGGGUGUUUGCUUGGCUGAGAGACAAGUUGUAUGUUUGUUUGUUUGAUUGGUUGAGUGUCCUUUUCUUUUGGCCCUCUUCCUCCUUUUAUAGACGAAUUAACUUGAUUUAUGCUGUUUCUGUUCUUGCCCGAAAGUAAUUGGAGGGUAGGGAACCAUCAAUAUUUUACAUGCUAUGCCAUUCAUAAAGUGCUUUUGGGCUGAGAGUUGAUGGAUUUCCAUUGGUUGUCACUUCUUUUGUAAGCACCUAAUCUUUGCAUUUAAUGGGGAGCCAUCAUGUUGUCUCGAAGUGGAUACCUAGGCUUGGUGCUGGGCUUCGAGCAAAAACUCUUCUCAUUGAACUCUUUUGGGCUUUCUCUCAUUUAAGCCCAAAGUUAAAUAUUAACCCAAACAGUGCCCCAUUCAAUCGUUGUUAAGCCUGCAAACCGAGGCGUUAAUAAUGAUUGAAUAGCCGUCUUCCAUUAACCCCUGCCGCGCAAAUGAAGAGGGUUUUAUAGCGAAGAAACUAGUGAUGGUUCAUGCAGCUUUAAGUACUUUUGCUAUAAAACCGCGACUCCAUUGGCCAAACAAAUUGGUCGGGCUUCGGGAUGAAGGUGUAAAAGAUUUGAAGGGGUUGCGACAGCAAAUGGAAGUUGGAUACGCUGAAACAUUUUCAGUCAAUAAUCACAAUGUUUAAGAAGAGUCGGACAAAAAUGUAGGCCCCCCAUUCUAGGAUAACUGCCUGAGUUAGGGAUGUAAAGCCUUCAAGUUAAAUCUGAUGUAACUUUCAACAUUUGCUGAAAUGAACAAGAUUUCUUUAAACUAUUUUGUUCUUGCAUUUUCUCUGAGAUCCAUAGGCAAAAACUGACUUUAGACCCCAUGCGACGCUUACACUUCUUCUUCAAUGUAGCAGUCCCUCACAUCCCACAGGGUUGGGUGAUAUUUUUUCAAGAAUUUGACAUUGAUUGGAUGCUUCUGUAAGCCUCCCUCCAAAUCUGCUAAGUAAUAUCCACCCUUACCCAAUACUUGGUUAAUAAUGAAAGGACCUUCCCAAGUCGGGCUCCAUUUUCCAAAGCCUCUGAUCUGAGCUUCCAAAGGAAGAAUUGCCUUCCAUACUAACUCUCAUUCUUUGAAGUUCUUCAACUUAACCUUUUUGUUGUAGGCCCAGGCAACAACUUUCUUGCCUUCUUGAAUUUUAUUUAGAGCUCUUCACUGUGUAGCCCGAAUUGAUUUUGAAUUUUGAUCGAAUUUACAUUAAUUUCCAUGGGAAUCACAACAUCUUGCCCGAAAGUCAGAGCAUAAGGAGUAGUUCCAGUUGUUGCCCUUUUGGAAGUUUUAUACGCCCAUAACUUUUCUCCCAACUUCUCAUACCAUUUCUCUGGAUUCCUGACUACCAUUCUUUUAAUAAUGCCUACCAAGAUCUUAUUGCUGGCUUCAGCUUGACCGUUCGAUUGGGGGUAGUAAGGACUAGACUGGAUCAUCUUUAUCUUGAACUUUCUGGAAAAUUCUUCUACUUCUUUCGAAAUAAAAGAUGACCCGCAUUCUGUGACAAUUGUCUCGGGCACCCCAAAUAUAUGUAAGAUCUUGGUUUCGAUGAAUUUCUUGACCGUAGUUGAAAUGUUAGUUUUUACUGCUAAAGCUUUUGCCCAUUUAGUGAAGUAAUCUGUUGCUACGAUUAUGAACGUGUGCCCUUUGCUAUAAGCUGGGUGAAUCUGCCCAAUGAAGUCCAUUGCCCAUCCUCUAAAAGGUCAAGGCUUAGCCACGAGGUUUAAGGGUACUGAGGGCACAUGUUGGAGUGGUCCAUGUCUCUGGCAUUCUUCACACAUUCGGGCAUAAGCUUUGCAAUCUUUCUCCAUCUCGGGCCAGAAAUAACUGUAUCUCUUAAGUAGCCAUCUCAUCUUUGUUCCUGCCUGAUGUGCUCCACAGAUCCCCUUAUGCACUUCGACCAUUACCCUCAUUUAUUCUUCUUAGCCUAAGCAUUUUAACAUUAGUCCAUCUGAAGUCUUCCUUAGUAGAUUUUCUUCCCACAAAACGUACUUAGUUGCUUGCUCUCUAUUCUUUUUACUUGUGGGGAAGGAUGGGUCAUUUAAAUAUCGAAGAACAUGUGUCUUCCAAUCUUCAAUCUCCAAUUCUUCAAUCAUUACAUCUAGGCUGAAUCCCCUUUCCAAGAUGGAAGGGAGAUUUCUUCUUUGGACCUAUAUGUCCCCUUCAAACUUUCUCUCUUGGAUCUGUACUCUAGAGGCCAAUUAUGCCAUCUCGUUGGCAAUCGCAUUUGCUUCUCUAAGGAUGUAGUUGGCUGAUAUUUUAGUGCCCCAAUAGCUUAACAAUUGGGUGGCCACUAAGUAAUAAUCAGCUAUAGUGAUGUGUCUGCAUUUGUACUCUUCAUUCAACUGAUUGAUCACCAACUCUGAGUCACCGAAUACUUCAACUUCAGUUGCCCCCAAUUCUAUCAAGAUCUUUAGGCCAAUUAUCAAGGCCUUAUAUUCUACCCAAUUGUUAGUAGUUUCUUGAUAAUCCAGGAGGAAAAAAUAACAAUGGUGAGUACCUUUAGGAUCGAUAAUAGGGAUCCCAGCUCCAGCAACAUUUUGGGUACAAGAUCCAUCAAAAUACAGGUUUCAUGGAGUAACUCAUAGGCUGGAUAUCCUUUUUACCUCCUGCUGGAUCCACUAUUUCUUGCCCGAGAUGGCUUUGCUUGGUGGGAUCCAGAGGUUAGCCACCUCUAGAGUUUCAGGGAUGUUAAUUAUUUCUUUUUGGGACUCUUGGUGCUCGGCCAAAAAGUCUGCAAUUGCCUGCCCCUUGACUGCCUUUUAAGGUACAUACUGAAAACUAAAUUUAGACAGUGCCAGAAUCCACUUUCCAAUUUUUCCUGUCAACAUUGGUUUUGACAGCAUAUAUUUGAUCACGUCGGUCUUGGCAAUGAUGUGGAUGUGGCAAGGCAACAUGUAAUGCCUUAACUUGCAAACACUAAAGUAUAAAGUCAAGCAUAAUUUUUCCACUCGAGUAUAUCUUGUUUCUACCUCAGUAAGGAUCCUAUUGAGGUAAUAUAGGGAUUGUUCCUUUCCACAUUCGUUGUUUUGGGCUAGCAAGCUUCCAAUUGACCUCUUCGAGGCAGAAAUAUAAAGUUUUAACGGCUUUCCCCUCUGAGGUGGCAUGAGCACUGGUGGAAAGGCUAAGUAAGCCUUUAUGCUAUCGAAAGCUUCUUGGUGUGGUAGGCCCCAUUCAAACUCUUCUUUAUCCUUUAGCCUUAGUAGAGGAGUUAGUGGCUGAAUUUGCCAGCUAAAUUGGCAAUGAAUCUCCUCAAGAAGUUAAUUUUUCCUAGUAGCUUUUGUAGUUGCACUUUAUUGGUGGGGGCGAUGUCUCUAUGAUUUCCCAAACUUUGUUCUUGUCAGCAUCCACUCCUCUUUGAUGCACGAGGAAUCCCAAAAAGUUGCUCGAUCUUACUCCAAAAACACAUUUCUUUGGGUUCAUUUUUAGCUUAUGGAUCGUCAUUCUUGUCAAGGCUUGUUUGAGAUCCAUCAAAUGCUGCUAUUCAAUUUUGGAUUUUACCACGAUGUCAUCAAUAUACACUUCCAUACUAUGCCAGAUUAAGUCAUGAAAAAUGGCAUUCAUCGCUCUUUGAUAAGUUGCACCGGCAUUUUUGAGCCCGAAUGACAUUACUAAAUACUCAUAUGCUCCUAUAUGGCCUGGGCACCUAAAAGUUGUUUUAUGUAUAUCUUUUUUAGCCAUUUUUAUCUGAUUAUAUCCAGCAUUCCCAUACAUAAAAGAUAUAACUUUGUGCUUGGACACUGCAUCUAUGGAUAGGUUAGCCAUAGGCAUGGGGUAUUCGUCUUUAGGCGUAGCUCCAUUAAUGUUUCUAUAGUCAACACAACAUCUAACUGCUUUAGUUAAUGCUUUCAAAACAGGUACAAUGUUGGCCAACCACUCAACGUAUUUGGCAGGCCUAAUAAAUACGGCAUUCACCAGCCUUUUGAUCUUUUCCUUGACAUUCUCUUCAAUUUCUUUGGACAUUCUUCGUGGUGCUUGUUUGACAGGUUUAAACCCCUUCUUAAUAGGCAUUUUAUGUUUUACCAAGGUUGGAUCUAAACCUGGCAUCUUGAUGUAAUGCUAAGCGAAACAAUCUUUGAAUUCAUGUAGAAGGUCGACAAUCCUUGCCCAAUCUUCGGUUUCCAACAAACCACUAAUAUGUAUUGGUCUUGGAUCCUCCUUAGUUCCUAAAUCAAUGGUCUCCAAGGGGUUUUGUACUUCUGGGGCUGGUUUGUCUCGUUCUGCACACAAAAACUCAACUAGUUCUGGAUUCUUGGGCAAAUCUUCUGGUCCAUCUAAGUCAUAUAUACACUCAGCUAUUUGGAUGGUCGUUUCUAACUCUUCCCAAAAAGACCUUACUUCUCUGUUCUGGCUACUUGAAGCCCGCUCCUCUGUUUUUCUUCUAAGGCUAAGUUAUCCUUUUCUUGUCUUUUCUCUCUCCCAUACACCAACAGUCUUUUUAUUAAGGACCUGACUGCAACCACUUGGUCUUUCCUAUUCUGUUCUGACAUCAAUGGUGUUGGGGGUUAGGGAUGAUAUUGGGCCGAUCUCAUUCUUCCCUUGUAAGGGGUAACCCUUAUUCUAGAAGCUUUUGGGCCAUCACCUUAGUUGGGAGGCCGUUCUUAUCAGCUUCUGAACACUGAAGAAUCCCAAUACUGGGAUCGUAGAAGUUGGCUUCUGCGAUGUUGGCUAUAGGUAAGAAUGGUCGUGAUUCGGCCUCCACUAUUUCUGAAAACCCAGGUCCCGUUUCCCUUUCUUCAUGGUAGACAACCACUUGUUGAUGCAAAGUAGAUGGCACAAAGAGACUAUGGUGAAUCCAAUAUCUGCCCAGUAAAGCUUCAUAAGUAGAAGUACUGUUUACAACAAAAAAGGCCAGCAUGAUUUGUUUUGAACCCAAAUCGACCUCUAAUGGUAAUAUCCCAUGAGUUCGGGUGAUAGCUCAUGUGAAACUAGAAACUGUAAGAUCCGUAGGAAUAAGAUUUUUCUCGCCUUUGCACAUUUUCUUCAUCUGCUUGUAAGGUAACACAUUAACUGCGGUCCUUCCAUCGAUCAAGACCCUCUUGAAAGGUACCCCUUCCAGGUAAGCAGUUACGUAUAUGGGUUUGAGAUGGUUGGCUAGGGUCAAACUCGAGCGAACAAAAACCAUUUUGUUCGAAUAUAUUUUCUCAGGCUUCCUUCCUGAUUGCUCAGGCGUGCUUGUUUGGUUGGACUCUCAUUGUCCAGUUUUUUCAACAUUAACAUGCGUCAUCAUUGGUUCUGCUGCCAAGUAAUCACCUUCCAUUGUGGGUAGUUGAUCAUGCUCGGCGCGAAACAUAGCUGAUAAAACAUAUGCCAUGUUUACGUGGAAGUUGCUGGGUCCAGGUAAAUCUUUCCCUUGCCCUAAUGUUGUUCAUAAACUCCUCCAACCAAGUCUGUGCUUCGGCAAUUGUUCUGGAACUUCGCAGAUAUUAUCCAUUAACAAUGGUGCGGGCAACCGUCUCUCGGGUGAAAUAGUUCCAAAGGAGAUCGGUUUUGGGCUCCAUUUUGGGGUAGGCAUCAUCAUCAUAUCCUCUUGAGCUCUUCAUUCUUGCUGUUUGCCUUCCUCUUCAUUCUUGUUGUUUGCCUUCUUCACCUCAUUCUUACUCCUCCAAUGAAGCUGAUGUCUUCUUUCAUAAGGAACGUUUUUGAGUUUUACAUUCUUUGAGGUUUCCAAAGUAGUGGGAAGUUUCAAUGAGUUUAUGUGGGCUUUAUGCUGCCUUUGGACCCUCUUGAUCAUGGAGGCUCCCAUCUCUUUAACAGGUCUCCCGUCAUUUCUGAUUAUGUACCAUUUUCACCCAAGUCAGGCAAGAUUUUUCUUUGUGAUCGGGUUCGUGGUCCUUCCUUUUGUUCUUACAUCUCAAUCGGCAUAAACGGGUUGGGAUGGCCUCGCAUCCACCCAUCUUGGUAUCUUGGCCUCCUUAUCCUCUACUUCCUCAGAAGCUUCAUAGUUCCUGAACACUUCUGACAAGUUUUUAGGCUGAGAGUCUUUUCCCAACCUCUGGAAGACAUUCCUAGAGGUUUCCUUCUCAGCUGCCCACAUGAUUUUCAUGUGGUUUUCAUGUUCUUCCUCUUUUCUCCUUUUAAUCAAUUCAUAAUCAAUGACAACUCCAAUUGUUGGUACUUUUAGUUCGCAUUCACCUUGACUCCUGUUGUAUAUCACUACUCCUUUGAUUAUGACAACCUUAGGUUUUUUGGGCAGCUUGAUAGCUCAUUUAGUUGGUCUAUCAACUGGUCUUCUUUCCGCCUUGACCUUCCACGUGGCCUUUCCUUUUCCUUUCUCUGCCCAUGUUAGGUUGAUCAUGCUUAUUGGGGCUUCUAGAAAAUGAUCAGCACCAGUCAUUGUAUCAGUUUGUGGUUAUCCCAAUAUCUAUUUUAUUUCUAGCUCGCAUCUCCCUUUGCUAUCUAAUGAAAAUAACAAGGGAUUAGGCAACUCUGGUCCCCUGACUUUCUUCAACACUGGCUGAUCUACUUCAAAUCUUUCCUUGUUCUUUUCUUUAUUCCUUUUUUCCUUAAGUAAAGGAAAUAGAGGAAUAACUGACUCUUCCAUAGGGCUGGUUUCUUUCUUCGCCUCUUUAACAUAAUCAUUCUCUGGAGUAUGGUACUUUAAAUCCAGCCUUCUUUGCCGAUGUUCUGUUAAGGAACAAAGUCUACUUCCUUCCUCUCUUGUUUGUAGAUAGUUUCUCUUCACGCUCCUUACCACAGCCAUCAAAGAAGUCUGCAAAUUUUCAUUUGUUACCUUUUCUCCUGAUCUCGCAGAAGGGGUCGGGCUUUCCGUCAAGGCAUAUCCUUGCAAGUCUUCGGGGAGAUUUGCAAUGCUAGAUCUUGGUGUGUACCAGGGUGGUUUUUGAUUUGAUUCCCACCUGAGGGUUUGCUCCUUCCUUUAUCUUCUUGGCAUACAAGAUUUGUAGUCCCAUUGGGCGUGCCAAAACUAUGUUCGGGCAAGAAAUCUGGCUGGUGGGCGAUCCUAGCUCGAGCACACAACUCCUUGAGGAGUUGGCACUUUGGUUAAUUGUCGAGCUCUUGCUUGUCGCGAUGCUACAAAAGGAGAACAAAGUUAGUUCUAAAAAUGCCUUUGUGAGGCCUUAGGUGUAAGCCUUGAGGCUCGCAAUCAAAACCAACUAAGUGCUUAGGCGUGCCACUGCCAUCUCUAUAUGGCAGAUGUAGAAUAAGUGUGUUUUAAGACAAUUACUUGCGCUCCAAGUUAUGUCUGACUUUUUGUUUAUAUGGGUUUAGUCUACAUUAAGUUCUUUUCUAUGCCUUGAGAUCAAUGACUUUUAGUUAUCUUGUAUGUUUAAAGGAUGAAGGUCCAGAUCUGAUCAAGUCAUCAGUUUAACUUAUUUCAAUCUUCUUAUGACGAUAAAACCAUUAAGUGAACCAGAUCUGAGAACUAAUAGGGGUUUGAGUCAUCAAAAGACUGGAAACAACUUGAAUAUAAACUGGGGAAUGCAUUAUAACACCAGAUCUAUUAAUUGAAAGACAAAACAAAAAGGGUCGGGCAAGAUUUUACCUUGUCGGGUAAGGUUAAACAUCCUGCGGUCUAUUCUCUUUGCAGUUACAAAAGGAUUGAGAACUAAAAUGGAUGACUGGAAAAGAGUUUAUACAAGAGAGAUCGAUACUACAACAUUUAGGAAAAGGUAGCAGAGCUUUUACAUAGACAAAAAAUGCCUUUUUAAGGAAAUCUAAGGCUAAAAGGGUGCAGAGUCUGGACAAAACACGACUUUCUGGGUGUUUUCUUAGCUGAGAGACAAGUUGUAUGUUUUUUUGUUUGAUUGGUUGAGUGUCCUUGUCUCUGGGCCAUUUUCCUCCUUUUAUAGACGAAUUAACUUGAUUUGUAUUGUUUCUGUUCGUGCUCGAAAUCAAUUGGAGGGUAGGUAACCAUCAAUAUUUUACAUGCUAUGACAUUCAUAAAGUGCUUUUGGGCCGAUAGUUGGUGGAUUUCCAUCGGUUGUCACUUCCUUUGUAAGCAUGUAAUCUUUGCAUUUAAUGGGGAGCCAUCAUGUUGCCUCGAAGUGGACACCUAGGCUUGGUGCUGGGCUGUAGGUAGAAAUUCUUCUCAUUGAACUCUUUUGGGCUUUCUCUCCUCUAAGCCAAAGUUAAAUAUUUACCCAAACAAUUUCCCUCGCGCUGAUCUCUGGAAUAUGCACGUCAUGUUGGCUUACAUAAGCUGAGGUUUUCUAAGAAACAAACUCUUCUAGUCUAUGACCAUUGUAAGUUUGUAAGAACAUCCCCAAUGAGGGUUUUAUCCUCAUUAAGGCUACCACAUUUGUAGCUUUAACGAAAAAUUUCAUCCCCAAUGGGCUGGAAAAUAGGGCUACAUCCACCACAUGGGCUAGCUAUAAAGGGCAAUAUUGUAACUACACCAUCUAGAGAUAUUACUUAGUGGUUAAGAAAUCUGUUAGUUUGUUGUAUUUGUUUUCCUUAGUAGUUACAAGAUACUUGUAUAUAAAUACUAAAAGUGUAAUAUUAUUCCCUUAUGAAAUGAAAUCAUAUUUUAUCAAAUAUGGUAUCACCGGCCUUUUGUUCUCACGACUUCUCUCUCUUCGAUCCAAACCUUCUCGCUUAUUUUUACGAUCUUCUUCUCUGAUUUCUUGAUCGAUUCUUCGAUCGUGUUUGAGUUCUUCGAUCUUCAGUCAUCAAUCUCUGGCAAUGGCAACCUUUGCAUCUCCUUCGUCUAAAUUGGCUUCUUUAGUUCAUCCUCUUCCAACUGCACCUCCAAAUCCUAAUUCUUUGAUCUUUGCCUCAAUCACGAUCCAAAACAUUGGAUCCAUGGUGCCAAUCAAGCUCACCACCACUAAUUACUUAACCUAGAGUGCUCUCUUUGCUCCAGUUUUUCAUCACUACAAUCUUACCAGUCUUAUUAAUGGAUCUAUGGUGGCACCGCCUCAGUUUCUUCUUGAUUCUUUGAAAAAUCGCAUCCUCAAUCCUGCCUAUGUCUCUUGGUAUGAGAACGAUCAAAAUAUUCUCAUCUAGAUCAACUCCACACUUUCUAAAUCCCUAAUUCCUUAUACAGUUGAUGUGAAUUCGACUCGUGAACUUUGGGCGAAAUUGGAAUCAAGACUUAGCACGGCUUCUCAAUCUCACAUCCAUAAGCUUUGAUCUCACAUUUGUAAUGUUACCAAAGGUGAUUCCACUGCUGCUUAAUAUCUUCAACAAAUUGAGUCAAUUGUUGAUGCCUUUAAUAGUGCUGGUUCUCCGGUUGAAGAUUCAAAUUUGAUCUUUGUCACUCUUCAUGGUUUUCCCCUGAAUAUGAUUCAUUCGUUGAUGCUAUACAAUUUCAACUCAGAUCUACAACAAUUGAUGAACUAUAUGGUCUGCUUCUUGGGAAAGAGAUCCAGUUGGCUAAUCAUAAGAAAAGCACAUCUGAAUCAUCAUUUUUUCAGGCUUUCAAUAUUAUGAUGGUAUUCUUCCAUUUCUUGCACCAAACCCUAACCCUCAAGCGUUUGUUGCUUAGGCUCCUUCUACCUUCAACAAUCAAGGUCGUGGAAAGGAUCACACUUACAAUCGCGGCAAUUUCACUCGUGGAAAUUACAAAUCCUAUAAUAAUCAGAGAUCAAACAAUUACAAUCGACAGAACAACAAUAAUCAGCAUUAUAAUCGUGGAGGUCGAAAUAAUUUUUCUUCAUCUAACAAGAAAACUUCUUGCCAUAUAUGUCAUCAGUUUGAUCAUGAGGCUUGUGACUGCCCUCAUUGCAUGAAUCAGGCCUAUGGUGGAAAACCCUCUAAUUCAGCAAUGGUUUCUAGCACCUUAUCUUCAAAUCCUACUUGGAUUGUGGACUUCGGAGCCACCUCACACAUGACCAACUCUUAUGCAACUCUGCAAAAUCCUAAAGCUUACACUAGUCCUGAACAAAUGUACAUUGGUGAUGGCAAAGGUUUGCCCAUCACUCACUUUGGCUCUAUGGUUUUGAAUGCUUAUACUAAUGCUUUUAAACUAAAUAAAGUCCUAUAUGUGCCUGAUUUGAAACAUAAUAUUCUCUCUGUAAAUCAAUUUCUGAUUGAUAAUCGAUAUUAUCUGCAUCUUUAUCCUUCUCACUUCACUGUGAAUGACCUUUCUUCGGGGAGAAUGGGUUUUAAAAGACCUGUCCAGCAUAGUUUCUAUCCAUUCCUUUUCUCCUCUUUUACAAAUGAUCAUCAUAAAACACUCAUUGCAUCUGUGAAAGCUUCAAGAGAUGUCUGGCACCAACGAUUGGGUCACCCUUUUGUCAAGAUUAUCAAUAAGCUUGCCUCUCAAUCUUGUAUUUCAGUUUUAUCUUAUACAAAUUAGUCCUUUUGUUUAGAUUGUGCAUUAGGAAAAUGUUCUAGGCUUCCUUUUGUCUCUGCAAAUUGUACAACUAGUAAGCCUUUAGAACUUAUUCACACAGACGUUUGGGGACCAUCACUUAUAGCUUUUUCUUAAGGUUUUAAGUACUAUGUCAUUUUUGUGGAUGACUAUACCCGAUAUUGCUAGUUCUAUCCUUUGAAAUGCAAGUCUGAUGUACUGUCCACUUUUAUGCAAUAUAAGUAUGUGGUUGAAAACUCUCUAUGCACAAAGAUUGUUGCUUUAAGGUUUGAUUCUGGUGGAGAGUACUUGAGUACUCCUUUCUCAACUUUCUUGGCUACACAUGGUAUUCAACAUCAACUUACUUGCCCCCCCACCCCUGAAUAAAAUGGGUGUGCAGAAUGUAAACAUCGCCAUUUAGUUGAAACUACUCACAUUCUUUUGGCAGCUUCUAAAGUACCUCAUAUCUACUGGGUUGAGGCAUUUCACACAACAAUCUAUCUUAUUAACAGAUUGCCCACUGCAUCAAGAUCAUCUCCUUGGGAAGCUCUGUAUCAUUGAGCACCAAACUACAAUUUUUUGAAAGUUUAUAGAUGUGUCAGUUUCCCAUGGUUAAAGCCUUAUACUUCCUCAAAGUUGGAUCCUAAAAGUAAGGCCUAUGUAUUCCUAGGCUACCGUUUGAAUCAUAAGGGCUACAAGUGCCUUGAUCCUACAAUCAACAUAAUGUAUAUCUCCAAGCACGUUCUAUUCAAUGAAUCAAGCUUCCCAUUUCACCAUAUAUCAACCUCCUCACCUACCUUUCCAAAUUUAAAGUUCAGGAUAAACCAUUCUAUCCAUUUUUACCUUUACAUUUACUCAUUUUCUUGCACCUGUUCAUACCACUUUAACCUCAUCUCAUCUGUCCUCUUCCCUUUAACCUACCAUUUCACCUGUCAAUUCCACCAAUACAACCUCAAGCUUUUCAGUGGCAGUCUCACAACCCAUCACCACCAACCCCAUCCAACCCAUCAACACUCAUUCAAUGCAAACAAGGUCCAAAGUCUGGCAUUUUCAAGCCUAAAGCCCUCACUGUCACUAAACACCCCCUACCCUUUCAUCUCUCAGUGGAUUAUAUACCUACAACUUACCUUCAAGCUUCAAAGUUUUCUCAUUGGUGCCAAGCAAUGCAAGAAGAAGUCAAUGCCCUUAUCAACACUGGCACAUGAUCACUUGUCCCUAAGUCUUCAUCAUAGAAUAUUGUAAGAUGCAAGUGGGUUUUCGAAUCAAGAGAAAGCCCGAUGGAACUAUAGACAUGUACAAAGCCCAGCUAGUUGCAAAGGGAUUCAAUCAACAUGAAGAUCUAGACUACACUAAAACCUUUAGUCCGUAGUCAAACCAAUUACUAUUAAGCUUCUACUCACUCUUGCAGCUUAAUAUCAUUGGUUUUUAAACCAACUCGAUGUCAGUAAUGCCUUUUUACAUGGUACACUUACUGAAUCAGUUUUCAUGCAACAACCUUUUAGUUAUGAAGAUUUAACUAAGCCAUCUCAUGUCUGUCACUUGCAUAAACCCUUGUGCGGUUUAAAACAAGCUUCAAAAGCUUGGUAUGAGAAGCUUUAUGGUGCUUUUCACUCUCUUGGCUUUGUAGGCUCUAACAAUGACCAUUCUCUAUUUAUCAGAAAGGUUCCAUAUGUGGUUUUCAUCCUAGUUUAUGUUGAUGACAUUUUGGUCACAUGUCCUAAUUCUGCAACUUGUCAAAAAGUGAUUCAGCAACUUAGCUCCAUGUUUCCAAUCAAAGAUCUUAGACCUCUGCAUUAUUUUCUUGGACUUGAAGUUAAAAGAUCAUCAUUAGGCAUAUUCAUAUCUCAGACCAAAUAUAUCUUGGACCUGUUAUCCAAAGCCAACCUGACUGGGGCCAAACCUUGUAGUACACCACUCAGUACCUCUAAACUUGAUCAUGAAUCUCCAUUACUUGAAAAUAUUUCUGAGUAUCGUUCAUUAUUUGGUGCUCUUCAAUAUCCUACAUGGACAAGACCAGAUCUCAAUUUUUCAGUCAACCUUGUAUGCCAAUUCAUGCACAACCAGAAUUUCACAUUUCCAUGCAGUUAAGUGAAUCCUAAGGUACCUUAAGGGUUCUAUUGAUCUUGGUUUAUGGUUCUCCUCCAAGUGUUCCACCACUGCCACCAUCACAACUUUCUCAGAUGCUGAUUGGGCCAGCUGUGCUCUAGAUAGAAGAUCAACUGGAGGUUAUUGUGUUUUUCUGGGAAAUUCAUUGAUUUGUUGGAGUGCUAAGAAGCAACCAACUGUAGCACGAUAUUCCACAAAGGCAGAGAACAUAUCUCUUGCCAACAUUACGUUUGAGAUUACCUAGAUAUGCAAAGUGUUGGUUGAUAUUGGCCAUUGCUUGCCUAGUUCUCCUCAACUAUGGUGUGACAACAUUUCUGCCAUAUCCCUUGCCAAGAACCCUAUUUUCCAUGCUUGGACAAAGCAUGUGGAAAUAGACUAUCAUUACAUUCAGGAAAAAGUCUUGGCAAAACAGAUUUAUGUGCAUUUUAUUUGUACUCAAGAUCAGGGGGCUGACAUUUGUACCAAGUCUCUUUCCAAGUCAAGAUUCAUGUUCCUCCGUGACAAACUUCAACUUUGAGUCCCUCAGUUUCGUUUGAAGGGGGGUAUAAAGGGUAAUAUUGUAACUACACCAUUAGAGAUAUUACUUAAUAGUUAAGAAAUCUGUUAGUUUGUUGUAUUUGUUUUCCUUAGUAGUUACAAGAUACUUGUAUAUAAAUACUAAAAGUGUAACAUUAUUCCCUUAUGAAAUGAAAUCAUAUUUUAUCAAAUACUAGCACUUCAAUUCUUGAGUAGCAAAAAGUUAGGCUACAUCUAGCCCCAUAUAGAGCCAAAAAACUUGUCAAAACAAAGUGACUACUGAAUCACAAAUGCGCGUAUUCAUAGAAUUUAUUACAAAUCACUAUCAGCUCAUGAACCAAUUUCUUGAGGUAGUACAUCACCAAGGGGGACUGAAUCAUCAUCAUCAAGUACUUUAUUUAAAAUACGGGUCAGUUUUCUCAAAUUUUCUGAAGAAUACUAAAGCUUUUCAAUUUUGGUUGCGAUUCCUUAAUAGAAUACUGAUUCUUAAUCACAUUUAUGAUAAAAAACAAUGGAGUGCCUUCUAGCAGUUUUACGCACCUUGAGAGAAUGGCUUGGCUUCCCAGUGAGUGCCAUAAAAAAGGUGGUCUUUCCACAGCCCGAAGGGCGAAGGAAUAAGUUCAUCCUGCAAUGAUAAGAACCCAGAUUUGUUUGGUUUUUUUUUUUUUUUUUUUUUUACCAGAAAUUACAGGAAAACUAAAAAAAAAUUGGAAACAAAUUUAUGUCAAAGAUUAGGGAAUCUGCAAAUUGCUACCAGUCCAUGAUUUUGUGGAAGAAAGCCUUGACUUGGCUCAGAAAAUAGACCCACCAGGUAUUACAUAUGGAGGAAGGAGGAGGAGGAGAGAAGCCUUUGAUACGGUUGCGGCAGAGAAGAGGGGCGACGUUGGAAGAGGGGAAAUUGGUGGAGUAGGUGGAAUUGAAGAGGCGGUCGAGGAGGGGUUUGGAAGAUGAGGUGAGUGUUGUGCUAGGAUAGCACCAAACCCGUUGGAACCAACUCAAGUUAACCCACAAGAAAUUUAUCAAAUGAAAAUGCAAGAACAAAAUAUUAAAGACACCAAGAUUUUAACGAGGUUCCUCAACAGUCAGUGUAACUGGAGUACGUCCUCGGAGCAGUAGGAGCUCACCCAAAAAACCACUAUCAACCAAAUGGGAGUUUACAAAGUGUUGGCAAUCUCACAACCCAUAAGCCCAAUACACCCAAUAGCUCUCACACACCAAAGAAACAAAUAGAGAAAGAAAUAUAAUGAAUAAUUUCUUCUCUACACAUAUAGCUCAAAGCUAUUACAACAACAACUACUUUGGUGGAUGAUUACUAACCAAAAUGAAGCAUCAACUUCUUCUUUCUUUUGGGCUCUCUACAACUCUCCUUGCUCUCUCAAAGAUGGACUACUAAAAACUGAAAAAUGGUGCACCCUUCCUCUUCUUUUCUUCUCCGAAACCAAACAUAUUAUGGCUUUGAAAAAGCCAUAAAACAAGCCACAUUUCAAUCCAUAAAACAAGGAAACAUUAGACAAGUUCCAUGUUUUCCUCCCCAAAAAAAGGAAGGAUGUUGUCCACCUUCUUUUUUUUUCUUUUGAAUUGUAUUGUUGUCCACUUGGCCACUUGGCCAAUUAUUCAACAGUGAGGAAUGAGAGGUGCGGCAAGGAAGAUAGAGAAUUUUUCUCCAUGCAUUUUCUCUAUGCGUCUUCUCUCUAAUGGAUCUUCUCAGAUGCCUUGUCGUUUAUUGGUUGAUUGGAAAAAUUGUUGUAUUAUUCUCUCUUCCAUGCAUAUUCUGUUUUCUCACAUUUGUUGCAAAAGAAAUCAGGUGGUGGUAUGUUUGGCAAACUAUGGUGUUGAUCAUAUUGGGGUUCAAUGGUGAGAUUCUUGUCCAUUGUGUCGAGUUAUGGGUUUUGCUAUAAUCUUAUAGGAAUUCCAAAUUUUCGUUUCUCUUAGGAGUUGUCUUAAUUGUUUUUUGAUUCUAAUAGUUUUUUACUUCUUGUUAGGAUAUCGUUUCAUGUCCCCUCUAGCUUAUUGUAUAUUUAUUUUUUUCUUUAAUAUAUUCACAAUAAUUCUACGAUAGCAAUAUUGGAGUGGAAGUGAUAUUGUUCUUUUAAUAAAAAGAAAUAGGAGUGAUAAGUAUGAUAGGUUUCUGGUAGAAGUUGAAUGGCUUCAAUCUAAUUAUGCUUGUAAAAUUUUUGGUGAAAAUUAUGUUUGUAAUUUGCAUAUUGAAGAGCUAAUUAAUUUGCAGAGGAAAAUUUUCCCCAUGGAAAACCAGAUACAAAAUUUUGAAAUUUUUGUGGGAGAAAGAAAUGAAGGAGAAGUAAAGGGCCAUCGUUUGAUGUUCCAUGGCUAUCGAAGAGCAUGGACAACAACAACAACAACAAAUACUUAUCUCAUUAAGUGACUUCGGUUGUAUGAAUCUUAAAACGUCACUACGCUCGAUUUUGCGUCAAAUUUUCCGUUAGCUCCAACUUCUCCAUGUCUUUUCUUAAAGUCAAUAUUCCAAGUCUUCAUAGGUCUUUCCCUACUCAUUUUGCCCUAUGAUAAAAGAAAAUAAAUCAAGGUGUAUGGAGGAAGAAAUUAGAGAAAAUUAAAGACAAAUAUGAAUUAUGUUUUCUUUUCGUUGACGUAAAAAAAAUAAGAGUAAAUUACAUUUUCUCCCUUGGAUUUGAGUACAAUUGCAACCUCAUACAAUAUCUUUAAAAUAUUUCAAUUUUAUACACAAACUUUUAUUUUGUUGUAAUUUCAUACAUCAUUUAGUUAAAUCGUUAAUUUGACUGUUUUGUGAUGACGUAACAAAUAUAUGACCCACAUAUUUGAUGAAGUGCCAUAAAAAAAUUUGAUUAUCAAAAAUCAAUUUAAAAAAAAUAGCCCACACGCCAAUCUUCCCCCACACCACUACCCCAUUACUCCCUACUACCAACUUAGCCCACACGUCACAUGCUGAUUACAACCCACUCGUGCCUCUUCCCGUCCCCAUGUCCCUCCAUCAUAUUAAAGGACUAUAUUUGCUUGCAGGUGACUCUGCCACCAUAUCCAUCCUCGAUUUCGCAGCCCGAUUCAGUAAAAUGUACGCGGUAUCCCAUUUGUUACUAUUUUGUAAAAGGUACACCGUAUCCCAUUUGUAACUAUCUUUCUUACCACUGUUUAUCUCACAAUCGUCUUUCAUAUAUCUACUCCGUCAGUCGGUGUGUGGAGCCGCCUUUCAUAUAUCUACUCCGUCAGUCGGUAUGUGGAGCGAUCUUCUUUUGCAGAGGCUGUGAGUGAUCCUAAUUGGCGCCGUGUCAUGGACGAGGAACUUGGUGCUUUACAUGCCAACCGUACUUGGACCUUGACAACAAGCCCCCCCCCCCCCCCCCCGGGGGCGGCCGCGGCAGGGGCAAAGUUCAUAUUGCUUGUAAGUGGGUGUACAAAGGUUAAGCGUAGUUUUGAUGGUUCCAUUGAACGCUACAAAGUCCGUUUGGUUGCUAAGGGUUUUAUGCAGGCUGAAGGUAUUGGUUACCAUGAUACUUUUUCUCCCAUUGCUAAAAUGAUCACUGUGUGUUGUCUCCUCACCCUUGCCGUUAGUCAUCGUUGGUCCCUUCAUCAGCUAGAUGUUAAUAAUGCUUUCUUGCAUGGUGAUUUAAAUGAGGAAAUUUAUAUGUCCGUUCCCCUUGGUCUUCGGCGUCAAGGGAAGAACCUUGUAUGUUGCCUCCACAAAUCCCUUUAUGGUCUCAAUCAGGCAUCUCGCUAGUGGUUUGCCUAUCUCUUCAAUAAGAUUAAGUCCCACCAUGACUCUCAUUCCUUGUAUUUACUUAAUAAAGGCCCUUAAUUGAUUGCAUGCAAUUAAGACUCCAAUAUGUUUAUUUCCUUAAGGCAUAAUUCAACUAUUCUCUCAUCAUUUCUCGGCAUAAUUCAUUGUCAUUCACAAAAUGGUUUUACAUGAGGAUGUUAACAUUGUAAAAAUAUAUUUGAUUAUUUUUAAUUGAAUUGAAAAGGAUACAAAAGGCCUUUUAUAUAGACUCAUUCUCUUGGAAGAGAAUUAACCUAGCCUACAAUUUAGCUAUACAAAAAAGGAAGAUUUUGUACAAAUCAAUUACAGACUUUGUUUCCUAUUCUAAGCUAAGAUAUCAGGGAUCUUGAUAUCAUUGACUUCUCAACACUCCCCCUCAAGUUGGAGAGUGAACGUCGAGAACUCCCAACUUGCGUAUGAUGGAUAAGAAAGCCUCAUUUCCUAAUGCCUUUGUGAAAACAUCUGCAAGCUGGUUUGAAGAGGGAAUGUAUCUUGUGACAACCGAACCAUCUUGUAUCUUGUCUCGAAUAAAAUGACAAUCAAUCUCUAUAUGUUUAGUUCGUUCAUGAAAAACUGAAUUAGCAGCUAUAUGGAGCGCCGCUUUGUUGUCACAAUGUAGCAAGGCCGGUUUUGGGUGAAGCAAACCUAGAUCCUUCAGAAGAUAUCGAAGCCAUGACAGUUCACAACAAGUUCCAGUCAUGGCUCUAUAUUCGGCCUCUGCUGAUGAUAAAGAAACGGUCUUUUGUCUCUUUGACCUCCAAGAGAUCAACGAAGAACCCAAAAAGACGCAAUAACCUGUAGUUGACCUUCGUGUCGUAGGACAUCCUGCCCAGCUGAAUCACAAUAUGCACUUAAGUUUAAGUUGUUUUGAGAAGAGAAAAACAAACCCUGUCCAGGCGUACUCUUCAAGUAUUUCAGGAUUCGGAGAGCUGCUUCCAUGUGCGGUUGUCGUGGUUCAUGCAUGAAUCGGCUCAACACAUGCACGGGAUAAGUGAUGUCUGGCCUUGUAAUAGUUAAAUAGAUCAAUCGACCAACCAACCUUCUAUACUUUGCCGGAUCUUUAAGCAACUCACCAGUGUUAGAAAGUUUAACAUUCUGCUCCAUAGGAAACUCCACUGGGCGAGCUCCCAAAAUACCACUAUCUUUCAAAAUUUCUAAAGCGUAUUUUCGCUGAGAAAUAAAGAUCCCUUUCUUUGACUGAGAAACCUCUAUUCCCAGAAAGUACUUCAAGUUACCAAGGUCCUUGAUUUUGAAGUGACCAUGAAGAAAUCUUUUAAGAGCAUUAAUUCCUUCAUGAUCAUUGCCAGUGAUCAAAAUAUCGUCAACAUAGAUCAGGAGGGCUAUAAAGGAUUGCCCUUGCUGCCUCGUAAACAAAGAAUAAUCUGCCUUUGAUUGGAUAUAACCAGCGGAUUUAAUUGCUUCUGAAAACUUUGCAAACCAUUGCCGGGACGCUUGUUUCAAGCCGUAGAGGGAUUUAUUAAGGCGACACACGAUAUUCUCCCCCUGUCGCCGAAGACCAGGAGGAAGGGUCAUAUAGAUUUCUUCAUGAAGAUCACCAUGAAGAAAGGCGUUGUGGACAUCAAGUUGGUGGAGAGACCAGUUGCGGGCAGCAGCGAGGGCUAACAAACAACGAACAGUGACCAUCUUAGCAGUAGGGGAGAAGGUAUCGUGAUAAUCAACACCUUCAAGUUGAGUGUAACCCUUGGCUACAAGGCGAGCCUUAUAACGUUCAAUAGAACCAUCAGAACGAUGUUUGAUCUUAUAAACCCAACGACAACCAAUGGGAGUUUUGCCGACAGGGAGAGGAGUGAGUGUCCAAGUAUUAGUGGCCUCCAAAGCACGGAGUUCAGAGUCCAUGGCAGCAUGCCAAUGGGAAUGAAGAGCAGCCUGAGCAUAAGUGUGAGGUUCGACCUGCCGACUGAUAGAAGCAAGGAAAGAUUGUUGUUGAGGUGAGAAACGAUGAUAAGUGAGAAAAUUAGCAAGAGGAUACCUUGUACCGGUGGUAGGACCUGUCGACGAAGAGGAUGAAUCGAUUGGUUGGGUAGAAGGCAAAGUAGGGCAAACAUAAUCACUGAAGUGAGCGGGAGGAGCUGAGCGACGGUCAGAGCGGCGAAGCACGGGUGCAGAGGGCACGGAAGGUGCUGAAGGCACGGGCGCUGGGAGCGCUGAUAUGGCAGGAUCAGGUACAGAGGGAGAUGUAGCAUCAGACGCGGGAGGAAAAGACUCAACAGGUGACACGGGAGAAACAAUGGGUGCGGAAGGAUCAGUGUAGUCAAGAAGGGGUUAAGGUAAGACAGGUCCUGGUUGGUCAUCGGAUGGGGAUUGAUGUUGGUAAGGGAAAAUAUGCUCGUGGAAAAUAACAUCACGGCUUGUAAAAAACUUAUGGGUGGUGAGGUCGUAGAGUUUAUAGGCUUUUUGGCCAACAGGAUACCCUAGAAAAACACACUUAUGAGCACGGGGAGCAAACUUAUGAGAAAUGUGAGUAUUUGUGGCAUAGGCAAGACAUCCAAAGACUCGUAAGUGGGAAUAGGUAGGGGAUGUGGAAUAGAAACGUUCAAAAGGUGUAGUGUUGGAAAGAACUUUGGUAGGGAGACGAUUAAUAAGGUGAACUGCUGUGAGCACACAUUCACCCAAAAAACGAAGUGGGAGGUUGGCUUGAAAACGCAAACUACGGGCUGUUUCAAGGAUGUGACGAUGCUUGCGUUCUACAACCCCAUUUUGUUGGGGCGUAUAAACGCAAGAGUGUUGGUAUAUGACACCGUGUUCUUGGAAAAAAUCACGAAGGGAGAAAAACUCACCUCCAUUGUCCACACGGAUUUGACAAACAAGUGUAUUAAAUUGAGUACGAACAUAAGAGAAAAAAUUCUUAAGGAGGUGUUGGGUCUCAUUUUUGUGAUGCAUAAGAAAGAUCCAUGUGAAACGAGAAUAAUCAUCUACUAUAGUAAAAAAAUAUUUGGCUCCACAAGUAGAGGCAAUUUUAUAAGGACCCCAAAUAUCACAAUGAAUUAGAUCAAAAGGUUUCUUGGUUGAAAUGGUACUAACACCAAAAGGUAAACGACUUUGCUUGGCUAAUGGACAAACAUCGCAAGCAUUAUUAGACUGAAAAGGAAAAUGUAACAUGUUUUUGGACAUAAAAUCUAAUCUAGAUGAUGACAAAUGACCUAAACGUCGAUGCCACAACUCUAUAGGUGAUAGAACGAUAUUGCAGAAACGCCUCGAAGUGCCAUCUUGGACAGGAGCCAAUGCCACCAAAUAGUAGAGUCCUCCUCGUUGCUUACCCAAACCAAUCGUCCUCUUCGUGGUCAGGUCCUGCAAAAUACACCAAGUGGGAAAAAAAGUGAUGGAACAAUUUAAUCCUCCAGUAAUUCGACUCACUGACAUCAAAUCUACAUUAAAAGUAGGCACACACAACACAUCUCGUAGCAAAAAGGUAGAACUCAAAAGUAAAUCUCCAGUUGAUACAAUAGAUGCUUGUUCUCCACUGGGCAAUAAAACUGGCAGCAUAUUAGUAUUUUUCACACUAUGAGUGAGCAGUUUUGGUGAGGAGGUGAUAUGGUCCGUCGCACCACUAUCGAUAAUCCAUCGAUGGAGAUGCGAAGGAUUUUUUGACAAACCUUUGGUAGUGGUGGCAGCAUUGGCUUGUGGGGCUGCAGAUGCAUCUUUGCCAUUCAUAAUACUGAGAAUUUGUUGAAAUUGAGAAUCUGAUAAACCUGACAUCACAGACUGCAUCUCUUGCACAGAAGGUCCUUCAGAGGAAACUAUGUGAGCUGACGAUGAGCCGGUGUCUCGCUUGGAGCGAUUCCCACCACGGGGAUUGGAUUUGUUGGUUUUAUGAAGACGAUGCCCAGGUGGAUAUCCAUGCAACUGAUAGCAAGUAUCAAUAGUGUGGUAAUCUUGAUCGCAGUGCGUACAAUGCAUGGGUUUACGAGUGGAAGAGCCUGAGGACUUGGAAUGGUGGCCCUGGCGAACUGCCAUGGCUGCUGUUGCAGUAGUGGUGCGAGAAAGGCUCAAGGAGCGCUGUUUCUCCUCCUGUGAGAUUGAGGAGUAAGCUUGACGUACAGUAGGCAAGGGAUUCAUCAAGAGGAUUUGUCCUCGAACAACACUAUAUGAAUCAUUGAGUCCCAUAAGGAACUGCAUCAACCUAUUCCUUUCAUUUUGAGCACCACAUGUGCAUGAGGAUGAAUCGCUGUAGGAAGACAACUCGUCCCACAGACUCUUCAACUUGGUAUAGUAGGCUGCAAUAGAAAGUUGAUCUUGAGAAAGACACGAAAUAUCCCGCUGUAAUUGAAAAAUCCGAGGAGCAUUACUUUGGGAGUAGCGCUCUUCCAAUUCGUCCCAAAUCUCAUGAGCACCAGUCAUGUAGAGAAUGCUGUCUGAAAUAUCUGAAUCGAUUGAGUUGAUGAUCCAGGCAACAAUCAUGUCGUUGCAUCUCUUCCAUGCAGCAUGAUCGUUCGGUUGGGUUUUUGCUGGUGGUUGUGGAACAGUGCCGUCAACAAAACCAAUCUUGUUUUUAGCACUCAAGGAAAUCUUCAUGGCUCGGGACCAGGUGGAAUAGUUGUCCCCAUUAAGGGGUUUCGAGACCAGCACCAUAGCUGGGUGGUCUGAAUGAUGAAUGAACAGUGGAUUGGAAGCAUCAGGCUUGCUUUCGCUCGAAGUUCGAUCAUCGGCCAUGGCUAAUGAUCAAUGAAAAAAAACACGCUGCUUGUGAUGAACAGCGGCAAAGAGAAACAACAGCAGAAAAAGAACUAGGGUUUCGGCCUAGCUCUUGAUACCAUGUAAAAAUAUAUUUGAUUAUUUUUAAUUGAAUUGAAAAGGAUACAAAAGGCCUUUUAUACAGACUCAUUCUCUUGGAAGAGAAUUAACCUAGCCUACAAUUUAGCUAUACAAAAAAGGAAGAUUUUGUACAAAUCAAUUACAGACUUUGUUUCCUAUUCUAAGCUAAGAUAUCAGGGAUCUUGAUAUCAUUGACUUCUCAACAAACAUCCCCACUCUUCGAGAAAAGUAUGAUGUGUUUAUUAGUUUCAAAGGUGAGGACACCCGCAAAACUUUUGCUAGCCAUCUUCAUGCUGCCUUACUUCGCAAGAAAAUCGAAACCUACAUAAACUAAAGCCUGACGAGAGGAGACGAAAUUGGAGCCAGCCUACUAGAAGCAAUCGAGAAAUCAAGGCUUUCGGUGAUCAUUUUCUCCAAAAACUAUGCGUCUUCCACCUGGUGUUUGAUUGAACUUGUGCAUAUACUCAAAUGCAGAAAGAAAUAUGGCCAGAUGGUUGUCCCCAUUUUUUACGACAUCAGUCCAUCAGAUGUGCAAAAACAAAAGCGGAGUUAUGCAGAUGCAUUUGCUCAACAUGAAAAUCGUAAGGACACCAUGGAUAAGGUGAUCGGUUGGAAAGCUGCUUUGGUGGAAGCAACCGGUUUAUGUGGGUUCGAUUAUUCAAACAAAAAAGGGUAACUAACUUUGUAACUUGUAUCAAUUUCUACUUGUGAUUAUUUCUUUUCAAAUUUUUAUUAAGUAAAAUGAACCUUAUUCAUGGUCAAUACAAAUAUAACACUGAGAAACACAAAUUAACCAUAUUUGACAUAAAAUUCUAAACCAUGACCAAUUCACCAAACUUACACAACUUGAAAAUUCCCUCCAAUACUUCACUAUACUAACGUGUGUAUACCUUACUGAAAACCCCAUCACAAAAACAUCUUUUUUCGAAAAUGAAUCACCACAUCACCAAGCAAACUGUUAUUCAAAUGAAAAAACUAAUUAAUACCUAAUACCAUAACCAUAAACCACACUCAAUAUAAUCAUUAACUAAACCAACACCAUAAAAAAAAUUUAAAAAGAGGGGUCAAAUUAAACACCUUUAAACCACAAAAUGGAAAACAACAAACCAUAUAAUUAGUGAGUGCAGACUUUCCGGCAUUCGGGACACCAAUUAUGCCAACAGACAAUGCCUUUUGGUCCUCCGCCUUCACCAUUUCCUCCUCAUCCCCUGAUUUCUCAUCAUCGGCACGCUCCAAUGCCGCCUCUAGAAGCGCCUUUGCGAUAACCAACUUAAUAAGCAUAAGUUCAAACUUAAUCCACUCCUUAAAUUCAUCCUUAAUAUGUAACGUGAACGCUGAUAAGUAACGUGAACGUUAAUAAACUUUCAGCACAUAAUAAUAAUAAUAAUAAUAAUAAUAAUAAUAAUAAUAAUAAAAAUAAUAAUAAUAAUAAGAAUAAAGGUCAUCGUUGCCUUAUACUUGUACACUUCUAUAACACAAUACACAGCUUAUCCCAGCUGAAGCAGAACUUGUAAUUCAUGCGAACUUUCUCGGUAAGCAAACAAAUGGGUGUGCGAAUUAGCUCAAAUCCAGAACAAUUAACAGUGAAUGAAAAGUGCCAGGAGCUGAAUUGAGCAAAGAAUGCAUGAAACUUUGAGAUUGAACAGGUUGGAAUGGUGGGUUUUACCUUGUUCGCAUACAGAGGGACUAAAUCUCUUUCCUUCAUGAACAAAUCUUGAUCUAUAGUUGAAAGUUUCACUGCUUUCGCUGCUGCUACUAAAUCGGCUUCUACUCAUCCUAAUUCCUUAUUCUCCUAAUAGCAAUCUUGGUUAAAUUGGCCAUAGCACGUAAAGAGGAACAAUAAUGUCGAAGAGAGGGAAUGACACUUGAGCAAAACAAUAUCAGAUGACCAACACGUGGGAAAAUUUGAUAACAGCUGAGCCAAAGGGCAUAUUAGUAAUUCUACUAUGCAAAAAUAAAAAAUAUAAAGGAAAUGAAACAGUGCAAGACAAAAACAUCAAUACACCGAGUUUACUUUUGUUUAUGGUUUUCUUGUGAGACAAGGAUAUUAGAAUUUUUUAUAUCCUUUAAGACCAUCUCCAAUGGUUGGGCUAAAAGCCAAAUAUUUUAGCCCGGAAAAUUUAGUUUUUAGCCUAGAAACAACUUUUUUGCUCUAACCGUUCUAGCCUAAAAUUUUAGCCCGGAAUUAUUAAAGAAUGAACUUAGGCUAUUUUUUUUGUUAAAUUAUAUUUUUUAUAUAAAUAAAUAUGUACAUUAUCGUAAAUUAAUUUUAUGAACAUUUUAAUCUAAAAAAAUUUAAAUUCCGAUAAAUAUUGAAAAAUUUAAAUUCCUAUUUCUGGGCUAAAUUUCGGGGGGAAUCUGGCCUUGGUUUAACAUUUAGCAUUUAGCCCAAAUUUUCCCCUUGGGUUGGAGUGGGUUUGGGGGAAAAUUUUGGGGGGUAGUUUGGCUUUUAGCCCACCAUUGGAGUUGGUCUAAGGGUUAAGAUUUAGAUUUUAUUAGAGUUUUUUAUAUCCUUUAAGAAUUAGAAUUUUACUUUAGUUUUCACUAUAUAUAGUAGUGCUUGUAUUAGUUAGUCAAUAAAUAGUGCUUUGCCGGCAUACUAUUCAACUCAAUGAUGUCGAAGAGAGGGAACGACACUUGAGGAAAGCAAUAUCAGAUGACCAACACGUGGGAAAAAUUGAUUACAGCUGGGCCAAAGGGCAUAUUAGUAAUUCUACUAUGCAAAAAAUAAAAAAUACAGGAAAUGAAACAGUGCAAGGCAAAAACAUCAAUACACUGAGUGAACAGUGUCUUUGAACUGGGUUUACUAGACUAGUUAAAGCAUUACUGGGAACUUUAAUGAAAAACUCUCAACACUGUUCACUUUAACAAAAAACCACAUUUUUACACUAAAAAGUUAAUCCUGGUAGUAUUCACCUUACCCUUUAUUUUGUCGUUUUUGUUAAAACUUAAAGUUUUCAAAUUCUUUUCAUUAAUUUUCCUUACUAUAUAUUGCUUAUCAUUUGUGAUCAUAUUUUGCAUGACGGAGGCUGAUUUCAUUGAGGAAGUUGUGGAAGUUAUAGAUAGUAUUCUAGGGUUUUCAUGAAUAUGUUUUUUUAUUUUUUACAUCUCACAUAGAGGAAUAUAUAUAUACUUAUACAAUCCCCUACCAACUAGGAAGUAGAUAUCCUAAAUAUAUUAGGAUAUCAAUUACAUACUCAAAAUAUCCCUACAUUCCUUAUUCCAAAUACAGACUCACGGCAACACUCCCCCUCAAGUUGGUGCGUAGAUAUCACGUAAGCCCAACUUGUUAAGUGAGUCAUGAAACACUCUUGAUGACACGGCAUGAGUUAACACAUCUGCCAACUGAUCUCCAGACUUCACAAACAGAAUAUCAAUCAAUUUAACAUCCAACUUCUCUUUAAUAAAAUGCCUAUCCACCUCAACAUGUUUUGUACGAUCAUGUUGAACUGGAUUAUUAGCUAUUUCUCUCGCAACUUGAUUAUCACAAUACAGCAACAUAGCUCCAUGUGGUUUAAACACAAUCUCGGUUAAGAGGAUUCUUAGCCAUAACAAUUCACAAAUUCCAUGUGCCAUACCACGGUAUUCAGCCUCUGCAGUGGACCUAGGAACCACAUUCUGCUUUUUACUCCUCCAAGUUACAAGAUUACCUGCAACAAAUGUAAAGUACCCUGAUGUAGAGCGUCUAUCAGUAACAUUUCCAGCCCAAUCAACAUUUGUGUAUCCUUUUACUUCCAAGUGCCCAUGCUUCCUGAAGAUCAACCCUUUUCUAGGCGCAUCUUUCAAAUUACUUAAGAUUCACAUUACUGCAGCCAUGUGAUCCUCACUAGGAGUGCAUGAAUUGACUCACCACACUAACUGCAUAUGCAAUAUCUGGCCUUGUGAGAGACAAGUAAAUCAAUCUUCCUACUAGCCUAUGGUACCUUUCCCUGUUUGCUAGAACUUGGUCAGGAUAAAUUGCUAGAUGAUGAUUCUGAACUAUAGGCGUUUCUGCAGGUUUACAUGCCAACAUUCCAGUCUCAGACAAAAGAUCCAGAACAUACUUCCGCUAUGACAAAUAAAUACUUUCACAACAACGAGCAACUUCAAUUCCUAAGAAGUACUUCAAGCCUCCUAAGUCUUUCAUCUCAAACUCUGAAGAGAGAUGCCCCUGUAACCUCUUCAUCUCCUCGGUAUCAUCACCAGUAACUACCAAGUCGUCCACAUAAAUUAUUAACAAGGUGACCUUUCCUUCCCUUCGUUUGAUAAACAAAGUAUGAUCAGCAUUUCCUUGUCUGUAACCAUAUUUCUUCAUUGCAUCGGUGAAUCUCCCAAACCAUGCCCUCGGCGACUGUUUGAGUCCAUAAAGCGCUUUCCUCAACCUACACACCUUGCCUGUCCUGUUUGACACCUCAAACCUAGGUGGAAGUUCCAUGUAAACCUCUUAUUCCAGGUCUCUAUGUAGAAAGGCAUUUCUUUACAUCAAAUUGCUUCAACGGCCAAUCAAAGUUAGCAGCUAAAGACAAAAGUACACAAAUAGUGUUCAUCUUAGCUACCGGAGCGAAUGUUUCUUGAUAAUCUACCCUGAAAGUCUGUGUGUACCCCUUAGCAACCAACCUUGCUUUGUAUCUGUCAAUGGUUUCGUCUACGUUGUGUUUGAUGGUGAAUACCCAUUUGCAUCCCACUGGUAUUUUCCCUUGGGAUAGCGACUCUAUGCUCCAAGUCAUGUUUUUCUGUAGAGCCUCCAUCUCGACUUCCAUUGCUUUUGUCCACCAAGAAUCUAGCAAAGCUUCUUCCACUCUUGUUGGGAUUUUGAUUCCAUCCAUUGUAUUCACCAUGGCUCGAUACUUAGAAGACAAUCGAUGUGUAGAGACAUAAUUUGCAAUAGCAUAUCGGACUUUUCCAUCAGGAGAAUACCUGUCUAGUGGUUUCCCACAAUUUUGUAUAGAUGGCAACACAUAUGUACUUUCAAUAUUAGUCAAAUCACGAGCUUCAUUAGGUUGAGAUAGACUUACCUCAUGGAUAUCCUCGGGCACAUGGACAGGUACAACCGGAGAGGAGUUAUUUCUUGAAGUGUAUUGGUCGUCCAAACUGUGAACUAAUUGUUGCAAUUCACUGUUGUCUUGAUAUGGUGUUUCUAACCGUGCACUGGGCUGUGCACCAAACUGCUCACCUGCUGCCAUGCCGUCAGGCCCACUCCUAGAUUUGGUCUCGCUGGCUGCUGCACAGCCUUUCAAAGAUGGGGCCUUACUUACACUAAUGGGUUCAGGCCCGUGGAUUUCACCAGAAGGCAGAAGUCGGCCCUGCUGGCAGUCACCGUGGCAAGCAUUCUGUUGGGUUUCACGUGGUUGCCCAGUAGGGAGAUCAAUCCAACUGUAAUCUCAUAUGUAUUUAGCUCCCCCUGAAGGUUAGAGUUGGUGUGAUCAGUGACAAAGAACAUCUCAUGCUCGGAAAACGUAACAUCCAUGGUGACAUAGGUACCCUUUUUGUUGGCCAGUAAAUCCCAAAAAAAUACAUCGAAUUGCACAUGGGUCCAACUUGCUACGUUGAUUUUUGUGGAGAUGUACAUAGGUCACACAUCCAAAAAUACGGGGUAACAACUGAAGGGAAGAGGUUAAUGUCACAUGGUCAACAAGUACCUCCAUAGGGGUGCAGAAAUUAUGUAUUCUGGUGGGCAUUCGAUUCAUCAAAUAAACUGCAUAUUUAACAGAUUCUGCCCAAUAAGAGUGAGGGGCGUGAGCACCAAUGAGAAGUGCUCGAGUGGUUUCCAGAAUAUGUCGAUUUUUGCGUUCAGCGAUCCCAUUGUUGUGGGGUGUGUGGACAAGAAGUCUCUUGAAGAAUGCCAUGAUCUUGGAAAAAUUGAGAGAGUUCAGUACUGAGAUAUUCGCCACCAUUAUCAGAUCGGAGAACCUUAAGAGGAAGAGAGUAUUGAUUUUCAACCAUGUGAUAAAAUUGUUGAAAAAUUUUCCCAACCUUACUUUUAUGUUUUAGAGUAUAAAGCCAUGUCAUUCUGGUGCAAUCAUCAACAAAGAUAAUAAACCAACGAACACCAUGAAUAGUAGCAACUGGAGAAGGUCCCCACACAUCAUAAUGGACUAACUCAAACGACACUAUUCUUUUAUUUAAACUUAAAUGAUAAGAAGUACGGUGGCUUUUUGCCAGAAUGCAAUCCUUACACUGAAAAUCAGAGUUUGAAAUGCCACAAAAUAAAGAUGGAAGUAAUCUUUUUAAAUAACCAAAAGCGGCAUGGCCCAAACGACGAUGCCAUAACCAGAUUGUCUUAUUCUUGUUUGACUGGCUACUGCACACUUGGUUCACUCUGCUUGCAGACACAUCAUCCACAUAGUAUAACCCUCUCCUCUUAGUACCACGCCCAAUUAUCGCCAGAGUCUGGAUAUCCUGAAGUAGGCAAAAAGUGGGAAACAUUAACACAAUACAAUCUAAUUGCUCAGUAACUUGACCAAUAGACAGUAAAUGAUUGGACAAUGACGGAACAAGUAGUGCAUUGUGAAUAGACAAAGAUGGAGUAAGGGAAAUAGAACCAGCUCUCGUGACAUGAGCAAUAUCACCAUUGGUUGUGAUGACAUCCUCUUUAGAAGGUGACGUCGUAUGAUAAAAUAAUGAUGCGUCGUAAGUCAUAUGAUCUGUAGCUCCAGAGUCAAUUAUCCAACCAAUAUCCCUCUUGGUAGACAAUAUUAAAACAAUACUGAUUUUACCUGAGUCUUUCGAGUUUUCAUUCAUUGAAAUCUAGUUGAUGAGAGAUAAUAAUGGACCAGAGUCAUCAACUUUGGAUGUUGCUUCCAAGACCCGGCCUGCUGAUUGGGCUUCUGCCGUGACUAGAUGUGACACAUUGGGCCUCGGUUGGCCUGCUGUGACAGCUGCAAUGCCGCUGCUACCUGCCUUGUCUUGUUGGGCUUUAGGCCCAAUGUGGCCGCCUACAUUUGCUGUCAUCCCCUGUCCAGUAGCUGCCACACGGACCUGACCCGAGGUACGUUUAUUCCCCUUAGCUUUUAAUUCUUUCUUCCUUUCCCAGUACCAUUCUGGGUAACCAUGAAUUUCAAAACAGGUUUCCUCCGUGUCGGGUUCCAUUAUAGUGAUUGCAAUGGAGUUUAUCUUUAUCAAUAUCCUCCUGCGUACGUGAUGACCGAGAGUUUCCAAAGGAUGGUGAACGAUAACUUUGCACUUUAGUUGCCAUAGCCAUAGAAGGUCAUGCCGUGAUGCUCUUUGUUCCCAUCAUAGUGGCCUGCCUCUGAGCUUCGCGUCGUACUAGAUUAAAACAUUCCUCGAUUCCAGGGAUAGGCUUUAUCCUUAGAAUCUCACUUCGUACUUGAUCGAAACCACUGUCUAACCCAGCAAGAAAAUCGUACACCCUAUCCUUCGCAAUUUCCUCUUUACGAGUUCUCAAAUCUGCUCCACAAACCAUACGAAGAGGACGUCUUUUGUCAAGAUCUUGCCAUACACCCUUUAAUUCAGUGAAGUACAGAUUAACUGGGUGACCAUCUUGUCUUGUCCGUGUAGCCUUACAUCGGAGUUCAUAAUAUUGUGACUCAUCAGAACCAUUAUAGAACAUCUGGGUGACACUCUCCCAAAUAUCUUUUGCUGUGGGUAGGAUAAAGAGACCAAGUAGAUGUGGUUCCAUAGUUUUUAAGAACCAUCCUCUCACAAUAGCAUCUUUAGUUGACCACUUCUCUCACAAUAGCAUCUUCAGUUGACCACUUUGCAUAUCCCGGAUCAUCUUCCUCGACCAUCGGAAUUUUCCCUGUUAGAUACCCUAGCUUGCCGAGCCCUGAAGCAUGAACCUCCAUCAUCUUCGACCAUACUUUAAAGUUCGAGUCACUCAACCGAUACCUUAAAGGAAUGGCAUUGAUGUUGGUAGAUUCGCCUUGGUUGGACACGGUAUGCACGGGAAUCAAGCUUGCCUUAUGUUCUUCAGCCAUCACACAACUUUUUAGAAUGGGUUUUAAUUAGAUUUUCGCAGGCUUUGAUGUUUACAAAGGCUGCAAUUCAAUUUGGUUGUUUCUAACACAGUCUGAGAUUCAAACCAUGAGAGAGUUUUACUGGGUUUUUGUGAUUGUCAAAGGCAGGCCGAACCUGCUCUUGAUACCAAGAUAGUAUUCUAGGGUUUUCAUGAAUAUGUUUUUUUCUUUUUUUCAUCUCACAUAGAGGAAUAUAUAUAUACUUAUACAAUCCCCUACCAUCUAGGAAGUAAAUAUCCUAAAUAUAUUAGGAUAUCAAUUACAUACUCAAAAUAUCCCUACAUUCCUUAUUCAAAAUAUAGACUCACGGCAACAAUUAUUUCAACGAAAUUGAAACGUGAAACCUCAUAUGAUUUAAAGGGCAUGGUUGGAAUUGAAACGUGAAACCUCAUAUUAUUUCAAGAAUGACGCUUUUCGGCCCCUUCAACUUCGUGCUUUCAAGAAUAAAUCUCCUAGAGAAGGAUAAACAGGGUUGUCAGAAAGGGUGGUAGGUUAUGCUGGAGGCAUUCCACCUGCUCUUGAAAUUUUGGGUUCCUUAUUCCUUCCAUGUGAGAACGAACAAGAGUGGGAAGAUGUAUUGAGCACGCUGAAAAAAUUUGCCCGCAAGGAGAUUCGGGAUGGGUUCAAAAUAAGCUAUGAUCGGUUAGAUGAAAAUGAGCAGGAGAUAUUUCUUGAUAUAGCAUGCUUUUACAAAGGGAAUCAUAUUCAAGAUGUAAAAAAGAUGGUAGAUUUUGGUCAAAUGCGUGGUGGAAAGAGGGAAGAUAAUGGCCAAACGCAUGGUGGAUCAAGUGCAGCACAUGGAAUUAGAGUUCUCUAUGAUGCGUCUCUCAUAUCGAUUGAUUUAGAAAGGGAAACCAUAGAGAUGCAUUAUUUGGUACAAGAAAUGGGUUGGGCAAUUGUUCGCGAACAAUGUAUUAUAGAACCCGGAAAUUGCAGUAGGUUGUUCAUUGCUGAGAAUAUCUAUCAUUUAUUGAAAAAUAAAGAGAUAAAAAAAAUACCGUGUACUUGUGUUGACCCUAGAAACUACAAAGCCUACGUGGCGCGCAGGCCGAGUAAUCUAUAAGCUAACUACGUCCUUCGGUGAAUGCGGGGCGUGCCAACUCGUCGGCCGAGCUCGGCCGAGGAGUAAAUUUGUUGAUGUUGCGUUGGAUCGCGCUACUGACUUCUGCGUCUUGCGAUUGCGGCCGAGAAAGGAACACGUCUCGGCCUCUUGGGCUCUCGAACCUGAAGACAAGGUUACUAUUCUUACGAAGUUCAAUAUCAAAUUCGGCUUUCAAUGUGCCGAAUGUAAUAACUGUAACACCUCACUUUGCCGAGAAGGUUGAUGAGAUGACCUCGACCAAUAAGGAUUUAGAAACCCUUCUCGACCGAGACUUGGAUAGGUAAUUAAUCGUUCUCGCCGCAGUGCUGUUGAUGCCAACGGAAGGUACUGCGAGACCGACUGACUCUAUGGUGACAGAGCUAUCUAUGUCGACUUAAGAUAUCACCGGUUGCUUCCACAGUGCUGUUGAUGCCAACGGAAGAUGUGUCAGCGAAAAAGGAAAAAGAAAAAUCACAAGUUGUGAGAAUUUGCACAGGGCAAUUUUGUAUUCAUUUGCAGGGCUUUGAAUGAUGUGCAACCUCUUCUAUUUAUAGCAAUGGCCCCCCCCAAGGUCGAGUUAAAAACCUACUCGGACUAGGUUUUCUUCCCCUGAUCAGCAUCAACUCGACCAGUCCUACCUUCACUAGGACUGUGAACUUAGUCCUUUAACUGAGCCGGAUUCGUUUCCGGGUUCUGCCGAGACUCCUUAUUGCACUAGGAUUCGACCUCUUGCGUUAUGACCUAGCCGACCUAGGUUUGGAGGCCCACGUACUGAACGAUCCAUGGUAUUCUUGUCGCAAGGCCUUCCGGGCCGAGAAUGACCCUACACUCGGCCCAAAACUGUUAUUUUGGGCCCAAACAUUGCCCCCUCGCUUCUGAGGUCCUCGGCCUGAAUUCUUUGGCCGAGUUUCGGCCUUGAAGAAGCGAAUCUACCACUCAGAACCCUAAUGCCCAAGUUCCAAGGUGCACUUAUUGAACAUGAUUGCACGAUCUUGAUUCUGUUAACCGAACUCGCCACGUGGCGUCCUCUAACACGACCAAUCCCAAUAAUGACGUCCAAGGCGUGCGGCUGCCUGAACCGUCUUGCCAUUAUGACCACUAUCUCAAUCCGCGAGCCACUUCCUCAAGUCGUGAGCCCACUUGUCAUCGUGCAGGCGUCGAAACGUCUUCCGCCAUUAAUUUCGCCGUCACACGUAAUCGUGCGCCCCCAACAUCUGAGACCUUCGGUCUUUUCAACUGCAUUUCCCAAAUGUUCAUCAUGAUCAUCGAUUCUUUCGGUCGAUUUUGCCCCUUUGUUUUGAAUUUCAAACGGUUACCCUUCCUGCCAAAAGCCUAUAAAUACUGAAAAUCUCUCAUUCGCACUUUACGCUCCCAAAACUUUCUGAAAACUCUUGCUCUUAUUCUCCAGUACAUUUCUUUUUCUAGGUCUUCGUCCUCAAAUCCCCCAACCCAGAAAACCCUUUUCCGCCGUGCUUUCUUCUUACAAUGGCGUCCUUCAUCUCCAAGCUUUCCAGGGAAUGUGACCAGCAUCAGAAGAUUCUUGAUCGGAGCUCGAUCAAGACUAUACGGUUUGAAAGUGACAUGAGCACCGUCCACCAAAUCUUGGGUCCUCUCUUCAAGGCUACAAUACUGCCGACCAUUACUGGCCUUCUCCAGGAGCAGUGCCUAACACCCUUGCUACAAGGGUUUGAAUGGUCGAGAUGGGAUGCGGCGAAACCCCAAGGCUCCUGGCCCUCGACGACCACAUCCUGGGCAGCCUGGGUUGUUCGAAUGGAACGGCUCUUCGGCGAGCAAUGGAAAGCCCUCGGUAUCUACGACGACAUCCUCCUCUCGUCAAUGGAUGUCGUUCACGACAAGGAGCUUAUCCUAGCCGCCUUGUGCUUCUGGUGCUCGGCCACCAACACCCUGGUUCUUCCUCUUGGUCCCAUCGGUCCCACCAUCCUUGAUGUCACCGCCAUUCUGGGGACUUCGGCAACCGGGAUCCCUAUCGACGCGGCCCUCUCUGGGCACCCGUCUAAUAUUGACCUGAAGACGCUUUUUGAUCGACGAGCCUUCGAGGCCUUGAACCGUGACGGUCAAAUCCCGUCGAAAGAAGACAUCCAGAAGCUCCACAAGAACUUCUUUAAUUACAAUACCCUCUAUCUUCACUUCGCCGGCCGAUGAGAGGAGGACCUACGAGAGGGAGAGCAUGAAGUCUUCCUCUUUUAUUGGUACAACAAGUACAUUUGUUGUACCAAGUCAAACAAAUGCUUGGUCGAGAAUAUGCCGGUAGCCGAGGCCCUGGCCAGUGGUCACGUCCUGGCACUGAGCUCCAACAUUCUCGCCCAUCUCUUCCGCUGCCUGGCCGAGGCGACCCUCCACAAAAUCGAUCCACACCAGAAUGGUCCCCUCUGGGUCUUCCAACUCUGGUUACAAGUUUACUUCGCCUCCCUUCGGCCGACCAUAGCUGACUUCUCACCAACGGAGGCGCUUGGGCCUCAGCUGGCCUCUCGACCGACACCUCCCCAUCAACCCGAAGAGGUAUUUCGGUACCUCUUCGCUCUCGACGACUUCUCCAACGACGAGUUCCUGAUAUGUCGUCGUCGAGACUAUCCUUCCUCCAUCAGGCUGCCUACCUCUACGUGGGGCGCGGAGGAGGACGCCGAUCUCCGUCAGACCUGGGGGUCGUUUGUGCUUGCUCGCGACCUCCCCCUCGGCUGCGAUGGGAAACGGUCGGGUUGGGAAGUAUAUCAUCCGAACUUCCUUGCCCGACAGCUCGGCUAUCUUCAGGGCUGCCCCGUCCCCCUUCUCUCCUCCCGGACAGUCCUAAGCCGUGGACGUGAACCUCGUUCUUCGGAGAAGGAAUGUAAAACUGCCGCAAGAGAGUUCCAAGAGUACUGCCAAAAAUUCCGCCUUCGACCGGCCACCCCAGAAACCCAUUGCACUGACACCUUCGGUGAGUGGUGGGAAAAUUACACCCAGGAGUUCUUUGGUGCUCCGGUCGAAUAGGUGCUGAACAAACUCUUCGGUGACCGACCUAAGAAGGCCUCGGCCCCCCAAACUCAAGGUAAUUGUUCAUUUCUCCUCUUUUCCUUCAACCUUGCAUAUUGAUUUGCCUUACUGAAUUCUUUUUAUCUUCUCAGGUAGUCGGCCUUCGAGAAAAACGGAGGCUGUUGCCGCGGCCACGGUCGAGAAAAAAUCGGCCGUGGUUAAAAGGGAUAAGGCUGCUGGUCGGGCCGUGCUGACCAAACGCCCUCGCCAAGAGGCCGAGUCGGUCGUCGAACCUCCACCGCCUGCCAAGCGGGUAAAACAGCUGGCAAAGAAGGGCGCACGGGAGAUCCACGUCAUCUCCAGCCAAACUACAGGGGCGACGACUCCCAGUGUUUCCCCUUUUCCUGCCGUUGUUCAACCCUCGGUCGAGAAACAGCCCGCCCCGGCCGCAGCGACAGUUCGAACGCAGCCUAUCUCUGGGACUGGUACACCAGUUGUGCCUCCCUCCGUCGAGGAAACACUCGCUCCAAAAAAGGUGGUUUCUACGACCGAGGGAACAGCCCCUGGAAAUCCAAAACCCUUGGUCUUCAUUCUGGAAGAGAGUGAGGGGAGCGACGAGGUCCCGUUGGCAGAUCGUCCUCACUUUCGUCGGCAACCUCUCCCAAGGUCUGAGAUUGUGGUUCAAGCCGGCCCCUCCACGGCUGAUCGUGGCAAGCGCCCGAUCGAGGAACCGACAGUGGUGGCCGAACCCCUCGCUCCUUCUCAGGACCAGGAUGUCCCUGCCUCUUCCGAGAUGGCUGCUCCGGUCGGCCCAUCUGCAGCCGACCGUGGCAAACGCCCGCUCGAGGAACCCGAGGCAACGGCGGAAUCGCCCGUUCAUCCCCAAGACCAGGGCUUCCAUAUUCUUCCACAAGAGGUUACCUCGGCCUUCGUAAGUACCUUCGACCAUCUUUCCUUGAUUGCUUUUUUUUUUCUAGAAUUCUAAACGAGGAAAAUACUAAAUGUCAGGUGCCUGUACAUUCUUUUCACCGAUAAUUCUACGCGCCGAAGGGCGUUAUCUACAUUUCUUGGCCGCCUCAGUGGCCAUCAAACGUAGAUAAUCUCCAUCGGCCGCGUGAACUGAGAAGCAAUCUGAGACACUGGGCUAGGCCAUUAAGUUCUUUAAGUUCGAGCAACGAUCCUGGAGACAUGGCCGAGGUCUCCUCUCGGCAGGUUAAAAAAAACACAAAACCUUCUUGCUAUUCUUGUCAUGACUUCUUUUAAACUUAACCUGAUUUGUACGUGCAGGCUUCAUGGGAGGUCGAAUUCAAGCCCUACUCUCCAGCACAACUGCAGAGUCCGGUCAUUCGGCUGCUACAACUGAAGCUGCCGAUCCAAGCGCCCUUACCCAGUUGCGAGAAGUCUUGUCGCUUUCAACAUCGCAAGUACUUGAGCGCAACGGUCUUGAUCUGCUCGGCGUAUGCCUGAACGACCUUGGAGCCGACGGUCGCCUGAGCGGAGAUGCCAUAGUUCGGGCAUCGUCUGCCUUGGAGCGUGUUCGGGAGACAUUUAGUAUCUUCCAGACCGCUCUAAAGGCCGAACAGGACCUGCAAGCCGCCACGGCCAUUCAAGACACCAUCCGUCCGAAAAUCGAUGAUCUUCGUGCAAAAGGGGAAGCGUUAGCCGAGCUUGACCGUCAGAUGGCCGAACUAGCAAAACGUCGGUCGGCCAUUGCCUCCGAGCUUGCUAAAGACUUCGAGUCAGGCGGCAAGGAUCGCCUAACUGAGUAUGCGGCAACCAAAAAACGGGUCGAGCAGCUGAAGCUGGACAAAAAGAAUCGGCAGGCCGAAGUUAUCAUGGCCGACGUGCGGUGGUUGGAAUUGAAGGCCCUGCUCAGCACUCUUCUACCGUCUUCUCCUUGAAUGAUUUUGAAUGUAAACCAAUCGACCUACCCAUUUUGUAAAUGCUUAUCAAUCUUAAUGGACUGGUUUUCUAUUCCCGCAUUUUCCAUGUGACCGGAUAGUAUUUCUUCAAAAACUUCCCAUUGAUUGGUAAUCUGUGAACUACACCGGUUCGGUCUUUAAGAUGAUACGCCCAUUUUCUGUAUACUUUAUGCACAAUGAACGGCCAUUCCCAAUUCGGCGACCACUUGCCGAACCUAGGGUCUUUUAGUCCUACAGGCAACACCGUUUGCCACACUAAUUCACCCUCGCCGAAUGUUUUCUGUCGCACCUUUUGAUUAUAGGCCCGCUCGGCAAUCUGUUUUUGUGCCACCAAUAAGUUAUAAGCGUCAAGUCGCGCUUCUUCCAAAUCUUCUAGUUCCUGUCUCAUGGACUGAUUAUAUUCGGCGCUAAACAAACUACUUUGUUCAAUUAAUCGCAACAAAUUUAUGCUCAACUCGACUGGUAGCACUGCAUCGUGUCCGUAGGUUAAUGCGUACGGGGUUGUCGCAGUCGCCGACCGGGGCGACGUUCGGUAUGCCCACAAUGCUUCGUUCAACUUCAAAUGCCAUAUGCCAGGCCUUUCUUUUAUUAUUUUUUCGAGGAUGCCUAUCAACACUUUAUUACUUGCCUCGGCCUGCCCAUUCGCCUGUGGAUAAUACGGUGUGGACUGUUCCAGCCGAAUUUUCAAAUUUGCCGUGUAUUCUUUAAACCUUUCGGCUGUGAAGAUUGUUCCAUUGUCGGUUAUGAUCGUUUCCGGUACAUCGAACCGGGUCACAAUGUGUUCCUCCACGAAGUCGCAAACCUCUUUAGAUGUUAACUCGGCAUAUGAUUUUGCUUCGACCCACUUAGUAAAGUAAUCAGUUGCGACUAUUAUCCAUGCAUGCUUAGCAGCUCCAGAAGUCGGCGUGAUUUUGCCGAUUACGUCCAUGGCCCAUCCUCUAAACGGCCAUGGCUUAAUGACCGAAUGUAGUGACUCGGCCGGGACCCUUUGUAUAGGCCCAUGGAUUUGGCACUGUACGCAUCCUCGUGCAAACUCGAUACAAUCUUUCAGUAUUCUCGGCCAAAAAUAGCCGUGUUGUCGGAGUAGCCAUCGCAUUUUCCGUCCGGAUUGAUGAGCUCCGCAUACACUUUCAUGAACCUCUGCGAUCGCCCGAGCAUUCUCUUGGGGGCCGAGGCAUAGCAAUAACAAACCAUCUUCACCCUUUCGGUAUAACUCGUUCUGGUACAUGACAUAGUUCGUGGCGUGGACCCGUGUCCUGCGACUAUGUUUCCCGGUAGGAUUGUCAAGGUACUGCAUAAUGGGUGUUCUCCAAUCAUCCGGUAUCACCUCGGUUGUGCAAAUCUCGACAGAGUCCUGCCGAUCUAACAACGAAGGUAAGGACAUAACCCUGGUGCGUAUCACGUCGUCCCGUCGGAGAAUUUGCUGGUUAACCAAGGCCGGGUAUAACUGUCGUAUCACUGGUAUCUCUUGGCCUAGUUUGCCCCCCAGGAGUUAUGCACCGGAGGCAAUUUGAGCCAAUUCAUCCGCGUCGGUAUUAUGACACCGGGAAAUAUGUUGAAAUGUAAUACCGUCGAAGGAUUCGGCCAAAUAGCUGGCGACCAUAUGGUAAGGUGCCAGGGUACAACUCAUGCAACGAGCUCGGAGUCAUCGAGGACGAGGGCGUGGGUUGCCCGCAGGUCAUGGAAAAUUCCAAGGCCGACGAUUAGGGCUUCAUAUUCGGCCUGAUUGUUGGUGCAGUCGAAGUCCAACUUAAGCGAAAAGAACCAGCGAUCGUGAUUCGGGGAUUGAAUAACAAUUCCCAUGCCCGCCGAAGAUGACGUACUUGUUGGAAAUGUGCCCUAAAGCCAAUCAUGUGAUGAUACUUUACGGACAUUUCACAUGUUAAACUAAUCUAGUUUUACAUAUAAAGGGCAUAAAUUAUUGUUUGAGCCGUCUCAUAUAAAUGUUAUAUGCUUAAACGAUAAAGUCCAAGGAAUAUGUGAUUGGGAGAAUGUAAUCUAAUGAAGUUAGAUUCAUGAGACCAUUCUUUCGUAGACACAUCCUAAAUGUUCCUGAUCAUAGGAUUGCCAAUUGGGCGUUGACGGUCCGUUAAGAUCAGUACGUACUAUGUCUUCUCUCAGGGAGAGUGACUAGUCUCGAGUCAUUGGUGUGUGACAUCAAGACAAGUACGUAGGUGCUCAAUAGAGAAUGAGUACACUGAACGUGAUCAACGAAGAGUUCUCAUAUUCCAUGUCACAUAAGAACUCAUGGUUGGGAUAAUGCAAAGUAGUCCUUUGACCUGAGGCAUCACAGUUGUCUUGUGGUUAAGUCCUUGAUCUUUGAUUAUGUCAAAGUCACCCUCUCGGGGUGUCCACGGCAUCGUUGGGGUUAAGCCACUUAGCUAUGGAGACAAGUGAAUGUGCAACAAGGGAUCUCUAACCUUCAAACAGUUGAGGGAGAAUACUCUAUGAUAUGAUUUGGAAUCUCUGGCCAGAGUAUGAAUGAGAUUAGGGAAUGCGUUCCAAAUCACAUUCAAGGAAAUCAUAUAAGCACACGAAUCACAUUGGAUAGUAGACAUGAAUAAAUAAACUAUCAUACCAAACAAUGUGGUCAAGAGUAUUAGAUUAGAGAAAGACCGUAUUGCAUUUGUAAUCCCAAACUGAAUAGGUUCUCUAUCCUCUUCUGAUUAGCUUGGGUAACCAUGAUAUGCUGCUAGGUGUCACUCAUGGUUUGUGGAAGCCCUAAACGUGUGUAAUCACUAAAGGGAGAAUUGAAAAUAGUUUCAAUUCACAAUCGAUGUAAAAUGGUUUUAAUCGCCCACUACCUCGCUAAAAGGAACCUAAUGGAUCGCACACCAUAAAAGGUGGAGAUUGAAGAUUAAACGGAAAUGAGUAAGAAUGAUUAAAUGGUUUAAUCAUUUAUUUAUGGCAAGGAUUCAUUAAUAUGUUAAUUAAUCAAACGAAUAAGUUUGUUAAAGACUUCGGGAUAGUUUUGGACCUUAAGGCCCAAUGGGCUUCGAACGUCAAGCCCAUUAACUUAAGUUGUAUGACAAUUUAAUGAAUGAAGAUUCAUUAAAGCCCAAAAGCCCAAAAUCCCCUAAAUGGCCGGCCAUAGUGUGAUGAAUUAGGGUUUUGGUUAUUUAGGUCACUUAAAGAAGUGACUAUAAAAAUGACUUUAUAACUAAAUAUUCAUUAAGUGAUUAAGGGUUUAUUUUGGGGAAAAUUGGUGAGAAUUGUCUCUCCAUUUUCUCUCUAAAGAGGCCAACACCUUGGAGGGUACAUCUAGCAAUCCUACUACUCCAAGGUCACUCAUUUCUUCUACAAUCAAACCUUGGUGAAGAGACUUAGAGGUUCCCUAUUUUGGGAACUUGGAGAAAACCUAUUUUUCCAUCCAAAUCCAUGGAUCUAAGAAGCAAGGAAUGAAGGCCCUAUCUCUUUGGGUGAUUAGCCUUUGCUUAUGCAAAGAGGAAUCUACAAAGGUAAUAAUUUCAACUCACUUUGUUUUGAGUUGAUUAUUGGUUCACCAAUCUACUAGGCUUUGAAUUUCAUGGUAAUGUUUUGUUUUUGAGUGCAUGCAAGCAUGAUUCCGCCUUUAAUUGUUAAUUGCAUGCUAUAUGAUGUUGCUCAAAUGAACAUGUUUUUCAAAAUAAAUCCUUCAAGUGGUAUCAGAGCCUAGGUCUAGUAGUUGGUGAAUCCUUUUGGGUUUUGUAGUUCAUAAGUUUAUGAUUUAAAAGUUGUAAUUGUUACAAGCUUUAUUCUUGCUUCUUUGAAUGUAAAUUUUGUUUGAAAAUUUGCCAUCUCAAAUGUUGUAGAUGUAGUUCAUAUGAGCAUGAAUAUUGGAGCUAAAAUUUGGUGUCAUGAUUUUGGGGAUUUUCGGCCAAAUCCAAAGGGUGAUUUUUUGGGUUCAUGUUUGUCUUGUUAAAAUGGUUUUAAGGUGACUUUUGGAACCCCUAAGUACCCCUAGGAUGUUAGCCUCAUUUUGAAUGAUAAAAAAUUUGAGUUUUAUUGCAUGAAAACAUUCAUGGAGCUCUUAUGGGUUUUCAUGGAUGUUCUUCAUAUGUUCUUGAUGUUCUUGCCAAGAACACAAAGGUUUGUGUUUUGAUUCAAAGUUUUGAUUUAUUUCAUAAAGUUUAUGAUAUAUGUUUUUCAAAUGAUUUAUCAUGUAUUUAAAGUGUUAAAUAUUUGUAUAAAUGAUGAUGGAAACAUCAAUCAUCAAAACAUAUAUUAUUUUUAUGAAAGUAUUUAAAGUGUUAAAUAUUUGUAUAAAUGAUGAAAGAAAUAUCAAUCAUCAAAAACAUAUAUUAUUUUUAUGAAAGGUGAAAGCACUACUUGAUUGUUUUUGACAAAACUAAUAAAUCAAAAACACCCACCACUCCUUUUUAUCCCUAAAAACCGGCCACCCUAAUAAAAUAGGGUAUUUUUGGGGCUUUUAUGCAAUUACAUAAAGUUUUUUGAUACUUUUGUGUAUUUGUACUUUGACCCGAAAGUUUACGUUUUGACGUUAAGGCCUAAAAACGCUAAAGGACAAAUUGUUUUGCUCCUUUAAUGAAGUUUUUGAAUUUAUUUAAAUUUUGGGUUCUAGUUGUAUUUACAUGAAGUAGUGACUUUUGUGUUUUUACAAAGUGACCCCAAAAGUUUAUGUUUUCGCAAUAUGGCCCAAAAAGUUGUGGUUAUUGCAUGAUGGCCCAAAUAGGAUGAGAACAAAAUUGUUUUGUCUCUUUAAAUGAGAAUUGGAUUUUCAUUUUGUUUAGCUCCACUUAAAUCAAUUUUAUGGAUACAAAAACCAAAUGAAAAUGUUGCAUUCAAUUAAUUAGUUAAAGCGUUAAUUAAUUAAAGGAUGAUUAUGAACCUAAGCCUAAUAUAAUUGAGCUAUGUGAAAGGCGUUUCAAAUUUGUUUGAACCAUGGGAAUGUGUGUAGAUUAUAUUUUGGUUGUAAUUUGAUUUGAUCAAAUGUUGUAAAAGGGCAUAAGUCCUUCUUUACUUUAAGGUAAUUUGUUUUAUGCAAAUGUUGUAAUGAGCAUAAGCUCAUCCUUUACUUUGAAGUAUUUCUUUCUUGCUUUAUUAUAUGAUAUGCAUGAAAAUGAAGUAAUUGGGUCCAACGCCCCUAAGACAACACGCCUUAAUGUGAUUAAACGCGUAACUAAAAUCAAUCUCCAUCCCUAGACCGAGAUUCAACACAAGGCUCGUGUUGAAUCUAAACAAAGGUUCAUAGUCAUCCUAAGGCCCUAAGGCAACUAUAUAGUCCAUCAAAUGAAUGCAAACCUUAUGUUAGUAGUAACAUAUACUCUUGCUUUAAAAAUCGUUUUAAAAGCAUAGUGGGAGUAUUAUGUACAACUAAAACAAUCAUAUGGACCAAUAGUUGUAAUAGGACCAAAAUUGUUUUAAUAGAGAUUAAAAUGUAUAUUGAUAUGUGAUGAGACCUAAAACCCUCAACCAAACCAAUAUUAAGUUAUAAGCGUGAGAGUGCUUUGAACACUCUUUCGUGGCCUUCCACCGUGGUAGGCUUCAAUCGUGUGUGACUCAUACACCGUAUUCGUCCAAUUCUGGGGUUGCAAAGUAUGUGCUUACAUUCAGGAGAAGCCUAUACACAUAUGAUGAAGUGAAAGGUAGGCAACUAGUGUGGCCAAUAUGGAGUUCUUCUGAGGCCAUUCUUGAACCCCUACUUGAACUAGCAUGGUGGGAAUGACUUAACUAAGUGCAAUGGUGCCAAUAUGGAGUUCUUCUGAGGCAUCAGUCUCUAGAGGCCAAAUGAGAUGGGUACUUGCAUUAGUUGCAAAUGAGUAAGCGUACUCUCUCAUUAUUAUUGUUGCUAGCCAAUAUGGAGUUCUUCUGAGGUGGGCUUGGUAAUAGUGAGUCUCCCAUAACCUACUAGGAGUUUCAUCCAAAACUCUCGAAUUCCAAUGAGGGAUAUGGAAUUUGCCAAAAAUAGUGGGUGGUGCUAUUUUGAUUUAAAGACCCGAAUCAAAUGGCUUAAAAUCAAUCAAUUUAUAUUCGUUAUGUAUUUGAUUACCAAUAUAUUUGCAAACGCUAUCCAACACUUGACAAAUAAAAGCCGAACGUUUAGUUUACGGACUUGGUACUACAAAACCAUAGAUUGUCUUUAAUGGCUUGUAAAAGUACCAAAGUAAGUCUCAUCCUCACAAUCUUCCUAUUGAUAAUGUAUCAUUAGAAGAAUAUGUUAGAAAAGGUCUAUCAUAAAGAGGACAACACUUUUAAUGUCAUAAUUCUUCAAUUACAAAUUGUUGUAUGAAGAAAUAGGAGUUGCUUUGAACAACCCUUAAUCAAUGCAAACACUUAGUGCUUGUUUCUUUGUUACAUGAACAAGGAACUUGAGAAGAAAGCACAAAGGCAUGGACACUUUAUGUGCCAUGAUUCUUCACUUACAAUUUGUUGUGUGAAGAAAUAAGAGUUGCCUUGUACAACUCUUUAAAGUUUGUAAUUAUGUUUAGAACAUAAUGGUUGGAUGACAAAAAUAGUCCAUUAACAUGGAUUUAUAAUGAUUUUGAAUCAUUAAGUGUUGAAGUGAUAAAACCACUUAAUGAGACGGAAACUAGGCAAGGACUUCACCUUUGUUUCCCUAUCCUAAUGGUUCACUAAGUUUAUUGUAAACUAUAUAGUGAACAAUAACCACAUGCUCUCCAAAAUGUUUGAUGUGUAUAACACAAUUGAAAAAGGUUUCAAGAGAGAUAGUGGGAGUUUAGGGACCAUGACUAAUGUAGUCAAAGGUGAAAGUCAAAUAAAGAAGAUAAAUAACUCCAAGGGAACAAACUUUCUUUAUGAAAGGAUGGACAUCGGAAGGGGUAUUUGCAAGAAAUGUCUUGCAAGUGUCAAGAACACACCUUUCGAAGGUGUUGUAAAUUGUUCUUGAAUAGUUCAAAACAGUUGGUUCUUCUACUUGAAUGUAUGAUUCCGUAUUAGUAACUAUGUUUUACAAAUCGUUGUAAAAGUGUGACUAAUAAGAAGUAGAAGAUAUAUGAGAGAAGAAAAGGUGCUUCACAUACGGAACGUGAAUAAGAUAUAGAUCUCUGCGAAAGCAGAUAGUACUUACUUCCUCAUAUGAACUACCAAAGAAAUUGGAUAUAUAGUAAUCUAAUUGAUUGUCUCUAUAGUAGAGAUGAUAUGGUAGUGUUAACUGUUUAGAAUAUAAUGAUGCUUAAAACCCAAAAGGUUGCAAGGUAGUGACUAAUCCCAACUAAAUUGUGAUACCUCUAAAACAUAAGUUACGAGUUGGUGAAAACAAGGAUGCUUUGGAUCGUUAGAUCCGGAUCCAAUACCUUCUUGUUAAAAUUGUAUAGAGGCGAAAUGUUCGAAUCUUUAUUCUUUUGGAAAGAAGAAAGAAUCACAAAGUUGUUGAGGUUAAUUCACUUAGAUGUUAGUGGCACUUGUCCACAACAUAAUACUACUCAUGUUAUAUGACAUUCACCGAAGAUCACUCUCGGUUGGACUAUAGUUUAUUUUGAAUAAACACAAGUCCGAAUACUUUGCAAAAGGUUUCAAAGAAUUCAAGAAAUGUAAAUAGAUGAGUAAGAUAUCUAAAGUAUUUACCUCCUUAGAUUUGAUCCAAGGAAAGGUAACACUUUAGAUGAGUUUCCUUGAAAGAUAUCAAGGAAAAUAGCAUCAUAAGAUAAUGUAUUUCUCCAUUAGGAGAAGAACGAACUCAAAUAAGAUUUAGUUCGUUAGAUGUUAUCUAUUACCCAUAUAUAGGAUAUAUACUUCUAAAACAAUAUGAUUGUCAAUUAGAAGAUCUUCCAAAAUUUUCAUAACUCCAUAAGAUGUAGUUGGAAAGAAAGACAAAUCUUAAGCAUGUUAAAGAUUUGGGGUUGUGUGGUAACAAGCAAUAUUUGUUUGAUAACAAUCUUGUAGGAUAUCCUUAAAUUAACUUUUGGAUAUCGCUUCUAUAAACCAACUAACAAAUGUUGUUUUGUUGGGUAGUUCAUUGUAAUUCUACAAUGUGAUUUGCCUAAAAGCAAAUGAACGAGAGAUAGAACUCGAAGAAUGGGUUCUUUGAGAGACAAGAAAGUAAUCAACAUAUAAAAACCUAGUUCCUAUACCUCAAGCUCCAAGGUAGUCGAUAAGGAUUUAUAAACCGUCUCAGUUGAAUGGUUUUGAACUUUAUGACUAUGUCAUAGAGUUGCACCUCUUAAUUCGAAAGAAGUAAGAAUGAAAAUCCUUAUGACUACACUGAGUGCAUAUACGAUAUAUACUCAAGGAAAUGGUAAAGUACCAUUUGACUCGAAAUAAUGAAACCUUCAUAGCUAAUUGGUAGCUUAAGGUGACUACAAUCAAAGAAAAUGGUUGACUUUGAAGAAACCAUCUUUGAGAUAGUCUUAGUUUCAAUUAAUUCGAAGAUUGCUAGCUACAACUAAAUGGUGAUUCAAUAGUCUUGAUAAUAUAUGUCUAAAACUAUGAAUCACAAGACAUGUAAGUUGUAGAGAUCCAUCCAUCAUGGAUCUUAGCAAGUUAGUGGGAGCUAUUUGCAUUUUAUGAGAAAAAGGAUCAAAUCGUUUGAUUUCUCAUAAAGAAGUAAAUGAAUCUUUUGUUUACUAGUUUUACAAAAGAUUAGUGGGAGUUAAUCAUGUUCCUAAAAAUUUAAAUAUAUAUGAUAUAUUUAUUUUGGAAAUGAAAAUAAUACUUCUUCGUUAAAGUUAUGACUUUAAUACAUUAUAUGAAGAUAGAAUGUAUAUGGGAGAUAUAGUCUAUGUACAUGGGAUGGAAAUCUAUAAUGAUAUAUUUCAUGAUAUAAUUGGAUUAUAUCAAUCCCUAAUAAUAGACAAUGGAUGCUAGGAAGUUUCUCAUAUGAUGAUAAACUUCAAUAAGAAGGACGAUUCUAGUGAGACUAGCAAGUUGCCCUUCUCAAAGGGAACGUACCCUUUGACUCCCAAAGAAAUAAUGCGUAAAUUGAAUCCUUUAUGCAGACGCAGAAAGGUGAUUUAUGUAUGAAAAACAUUGAUAUGAGUUGUACCUAGAACGGUACAAGAUGAUAUCAGUGCAAGCCCAGGAUCAGAACCAUGGCAACUGUCAAGUGAGUCCUUAAGUAUUUGAGAAAUACUAAAGGAUAAAUUCCUCAAAGAUCGAGGAAGAAUCAAAGUGACGUAAUGGAAGCGUAAAUGUAUUAGAUUAUGAAUCUAAUCCAUCAUUGGAUGUUUCUUCAUUAUGAAUGAAGAGAUAAACAGAUAUCUCUUUAUUAUGACUAAAGAGAUAUUUGGAUGGAAACAUUAAAGUAUGACUUUAGUGUGUUCCAUUAUGAAUGCAAGAUAUAUUGCCAUAUAGAAGUUUACAACAAUGUUGUUUGGAUGGGAAAGUUCAUUUAUGAACUCUCUAUUCGGUUCCAACCAGAAAGUGUAUGACACUAAUGGGGCGAUAGCUCAAGCCUGGGAAUCAAGGUCUCAUCAAGAUCCGAACUCAAAUGAGAGACUGAACCACAUGAUUGAGAAUCAUGUAUAAUGGUGACGUCGUUAUUCUCAAGGUUGCUUCUAUGGAUAACACAUAUAGAUGUCCACUGUCUAGGCCUACUAUUCAGCCAUUUAUGAAAUGACUACAGAAGAGGUAUCAUCAAGAUGACCAAGCUGAUUGGCUCUAGUGCAAGUGGGAGAUUGUUGGAAAUGUGCCCUAAAGCCAAUCAUGUGAUGAUACUUUACGGACAUUUCACAUGUUAAACUAAUCUAGUUUUACAUAUAAAGGGCAUAAAUUAUUGUUUAAGCCGUCUCAUAUAAAUGUUAUAUGCUUAAACGAUAAAGUCCAAGGAAUAUGUGAUUGGGAGAAUGUAAUCUAAUGAAGUUAGAUUCAUGAGACCAUUCUUUCGUAGACACAUCCUAAAUGUUCCUGAUCAUAGGAUUGCCAAUUGGGCGUUGACAGUCCGUUAAGAUCAGUACGUACUAUGUCUUCUCUCAGGGAGAGUGACUAGUCUCGAGUCAUUGGUGUGUGUGACAUCAAGACAAGUACGUAGGUGCUCAAUAGAGAAUGAGUACACUGAACGUGAUCAACGAAGAGUUCUCAUAUUCCAUGUCACAUAAGAACUCAUGGUUGGGAUAAUGCAAAGUAGUCCUUUGACCUGAGGCAUCACAGUUGUCUUGUGGUUAAGUCCUUGAUCUUUGAUUAUGUCAAAGUCACCCCCUCGGGGUGUCCACGGCAUCGUUGGGGUUAAGCCACUUAGCUAUGGAGACAAGUGAAUGUGCAACAAGGGAUCUCUAACCUUCAAACAGUUGAGGGAGAAUACUCUAUGAUAUGAUUUGGAAUCUCUGGCCAGAGUAUGAAUGAGAUUAGGGAAUGCGUUCCAAAUCACAUUCAAGGAAAUCAUAUAAGCACACGAAUCACAUUGGAUAGUAGACAUGAAUAAAUAAACUAUCAUACCAAACAAUGUGGUCAAGAGUAUUAGAUUAGAGAAAGACCGUAUUGCAUUUGUAAUCCCAAACUGAAUAGGUUCUCUAUCCUCUUCUGAUUAGCUUGGGUAACCAUGAUAUGCUGCUAGGUGUCACUCAUGGUUUGUGGAAGCCCUAAACGUGUGUAAUCACUAAAGGGGAGAAUUGAAAAUAGUUUCAAUUCACAAUCGAUGUAAAAUGGUUUUAAUCGCCCACUACCUCGCUAAAAGGAACCUAAUGGAUCGCACACCAUAAAAGGUGGAGAUUGAAGAUUAAACGGAAAUGAGUAAGAAUGAUUAAAUGGUUUAAUCAUUUAUUUAUGGCAAGGAUUCAUUAAUAUGUUAAUUAAUCAAACGAAUAAGUUUGUUAAAGACUUCGGGAUAGUUUUGGACCUUAAGGCCCAAUGGGCUUCGAACGUCAAGCCCAUUAACUUAAGUUGUAUGACAAUUUAAUGAAUGAAGAUUCAUUAAAGCCCAAAAGCCCAAAAUCCCCUAAAUGGCCAGCCAUAGUGUGAUGAAUUAGGGUUUUGGUUAUUUAGGUCACUUAAAGAAGUGACUAUAAAAAUGACUUUAUAACUAAAUAUUCAUUAAGUGAUUAAGGGUUUAUUUUGGGGAAAAUUGGUGAGAAUUGUCUCUCCAUUUUCUCUCUAAAGAGGCCAACACCUUGGAGGGUACAUCUAGCAAUCCUACUACUCCAAGGUCACUCAUUUCUUCUACAAUCAAACCUUGGUGAAGAGACUUAGAGGUUCCCUAUUUGGGAACUUGGAGAAACCUAUUUUUCCAUCCAAAUCCAUGGAUCUAAGAAGCAAGGAAUGAAGGCCCUAUCUCUUUGGGUGAUUAGCCUUUGCUUAUGCAAAGAGGAAUCUACAAAGGUAAUAAUUUCAACUCACUUUGUUUUGAGUUGAUUAUUGGUUCACCAAUCUACUAGGCUUUGAAUUUCAUGGUAAUGUUUUGUUUUUGAGUGCAUGCAAGCAUGAUUCCGCCUUUAAUUGUUAAUUGCAUGCUAUAUGAUGUUGCUCAAAUGAACAUGUUUUUCAAAAUAAAUCCUUCAGUACAAGAGCCGUCAAAGUACAUCGUCCAGUGGUUGUCGCGCGUCUGAACCAUGCCGAUGUCAACGUCGUUGCCCCCAAAACCGUAUGGGGAGGGAUGUUGAGCAAGGAAAUCAGCCAAUGCUUGGCCCUUGACGGCUUUCUGAGCUACAUAUUGCAAGCUAAACUCGGACAGUGCCAUGGUCCAUUCCCAAUGCGGCCUUUUACGAUUGGUCGGGUGAGCAUGUAACGGAUGACUUCGGUCUGGGUAAUAACUUGGGUAACCGAUGGGAGCAUAUAAUGCCGGAGCUUGGAAGUGGCGAAAAACACGGCCAGGCACAGCUUCUCGAUGGCUGGAUAAUUGAUCUCCGGUUGACUGAGAUUGCGGCUGAGAUAAAAAAUAGCCUGUUCUCGUCCGGCGUCGCUGUCUUGUGCAAGGAGGCAGCCGAUGGACUCUUCGGCCGCCGAGAUGUAGAGCUUAAGAGGCUUACCACGCCGAUGAGGAACCAGGACAGGUGGGUUCGUAAGGGAGACUUUGAUUUACGUAAACGCCGCCUGAUGCUCAUUGUUCCACACAAAUUUAUCGGAGUCCUUGAGUCUCAAAAGCGUGGAAAACGCUUUCAUUUUACCUGCGGAGUUGGCAAUAAAUCGACGGAGGAAAUUGAUCUGGGCGAGUAAGGACUGGAGUUGUUUCUUCGUCGUUGGGGGUGGGGCAUUGAUGAUUGCGCGGGCCUUAUUCUCAUCGACUUCAAUCCUAUGGUGAUGCACGAGGAAACCAAGAAAAUUUCCGACCGACACGCCGAAAGCACACUUGGCGGGAUUCAUCUUGAGGUUGUGUCAACGCAUGCGGAGGAAAGCUUGUCGAAAAUCGUCCAGAUGUGUCUGUCGGCGUUUAGAUUUGAUGACAACAUCGUCGAUGUAAACUUCGACGAUGGUUCCAAUUAAAUCAUGGAAAAUGGUAUUCAUCGCCCGUUGGUAUGUGGCGCCGGCAUUCUUGAGGCCGAACGGCAUAACAACCCAUUCGUAAGUCCCGAGUGCCCCCGGGCAACGGAAAGCAGUUUUGUGCACAUCGGCUUCGGCAAUGAAUAUUUGGUAGUAUCCGGCGUGUCCAUCCAUAAAGGAUAAGAUUGCAUGACUCGCCACAGCAUCGAUCAAGAGGUCUGAAAUCGGCAUUGGAUACUCAUCUUUGGGAGUUGCCAGAUUCAGAUUUCUGAAAUCGAUACAGAUGCGUAGGGCACCAUUUUUCUUUAAAACAGGCACGAUAUUUGCCAACCAUUCAACAUAUCGAGCUAUCCGAAUGAACCCGGCUUUCAAAAGCCGAACCAAUUCGUCCUUGAUGCCGAGUUGUACUUCGGUCGAGAAUCGACGAGGUGGCUGACGAAAAGGUUUGCAUCCGGGCUUAAUAUGUAAUUCAUGCUCGACCAGAGUACGCUCUAAGCCGGGCAUUUCAUGAUAGCUCCAAGCAAAACAAUCUUUGAACUCCGUAAGCAAGGCACGAAGCUCGUCCUUCAUUUGUUGGGGAAGUAACGUACUAACAAACAAAGGCCGUGGAUCAUCGGCCGUCCCAACAUUAAUCUCUUCCAGGGGGUCCUUCACUUGGGGCCGAUGAUCUUCGAGUUCGGCCGGGGCGGCUUGAAUUUUAUCAAGAGACAAAACAGGACCAUUAUCUCCUUCGGCAAGGAACUCGACGAGGUUAACGCCCGAAUUUGGUUGUUUGGAUAUAGUAUACCAAUGGGCCAGCAGUCGUUCCAUAGUAGAUGAAACCGCGGCCCUACGUCUUUCCCGAUCGGUGUCAAACAUUAGCUUCGGGGAGGAAAUUAGCUAAUCCGAGUCUCGCCGAAUCCUGCUGGAUAGUCUCGGCGCCAACCUCGAUAGCUUUCUGAACGGAAAUCCGAGUCGACCGUCCCUCUUCAUUGAAGCCUUGCAAAGUAAUGUAGCCGACGUGAUCGUCAUAAUACCGUGCUUGGAUCAUGUUAGCUUCGAAGGGCUGGCUAUCGGCUGGAUGAACAGUGACCGAUUUGCCGUCCCAAAAGACAAGCACUUGGUACAAUGAGGAAGGAAUACAGCUGGUUUGAUGAAUCUAAUCUCGGCCGAGCAGUGCAUUAUACUCGGUUUUGGAAUCAACCACGAAAAAGGCGGUCAUGUGGGUGCGACCGGUAAUAUUCACAGUUAACGGAAGUACACCUUUGGUGUGGGAUUUGUCGCCGACAAAACUACUCAUUGUGAUUCCUGACGGAAUAAGCUCGUCAUUUGAACGGCGUAAGGCUUUCAUGAUGUUCAGAGGCAUGAUAUUGAUGGUAGCUCCACAGUCGACAAAAACUUUGGAAACUGGAUAUCCCUCGAUGUGGGCCGUCACAUACAAUGGCUUUAAAUGGUGAAGCUUGGCCGACGAUGAGUGAGGGAACAAUUCGGCCAAAACGGCCUUUAGACUAUCAUCUUUUGUUGUUGACUCGCCUUCAGCAAUCGAUACAAAAUCAACAUGGCCGGGUUCCUCGGCAACCACAUCUCCAUCAAGGAAAUUUGGUUGAGCCGUGCUUGAUUGAAAAUCGGCAGGUAACACAUGGACCAUACUGAUUUCCAUAUUAUCCAGGACUGACGGGCCCAUCUGGUCAAGACCCUCCUCAUUCGGUUGGUCGGCGACUACGGACUCAGUUGUCGUCAAAGUCGGACAACGAGACUCUUCUGUCCCUUCUUCAAUGACGUCACUCGGCGGAGCUGCUUCGGCGACUUGUUGGUUCUGCGUGACCGCCUCAGGUAAGGUUGAGACUGACAACGUACUUGGGGUCAGGACCUGAACCUGCUCCUGGUAGUGUAGCCGAGCAUCCCUAGUGCCGAGAUAAGCAUCUAGACGGGCAAUACGUGCGAUUUCAUCGGUCGUAAGGCCGAAGAGAGAAACCGCCGAAAAUACUUCAAAGUGAUAUCGUAAAUACUGAAGGUCCUCCAGCGAGAAAGGAAGGUCGACUGCAUUGAUAUCGAUGUACGGGUCGACUUCAAAUCCAAGGACACGAGCUUCUCGUAUGUGCUGGAACCUGGCUUUCAAUCCUGGAUCUGAGGUCUUCUGGAUGAUCCGCUCAGCAUCCGGACAAGUCAGGACCAGAUCAAUGGUGUCCUGGCAUGCCUUCGGCAAACCAUACAGAUCGUUGGCCGAAUGUUUCUUAUGAAAUUCUCGCAUAUACUCCAAAGACUCCCCAAGGAACGGGGGAUGCAAAUUCCGUCGAAUUUUGACUAAAGGUUCUUGUAUAGCUGGCGGGGAUAAUUUGCUUUCGGCCUCUUGCCUGAAAUGUUCAAGGCGUGCCUUCAUUUCCCCUGGUCGAAUGAGGAGUUUGAUCCGUUUAUCAGCUUCUUCAAACAUGGUCUCGACAUCUUGAUCGACCAGUCGUUUCCCCUGAGCCAACUCUGUCAUAAUUGCUGGAGAUGGUCGGUCAUCAUCAGUGGCAACUGUGUCCUUCGGCCGCCACUUAGGGGCCGAAGUUUCUUGGGCUGCUCGUUGGUGAGCCAUGCAAUCUAUCCGUUGAUGUCGGCGUUUCUGAGAUUUGGACAACGCGGUGUAGACGCCCUUCGAAGAAUGGUAUGUAUACCAACGUUGAUCUCUAGGCUCGGGAGGCUUGAAGGUCUUUUGGCUCCGCGAUGAUUCUGAACUGCUAGAAUUACGCUUAUAGUAAUCAUCGUCAUAGAAUGAAGCAUCAAAAUCGAAGCGCCACCUGAUGUUGGCCUUCAUUGGCUACCUUUUGCCGAGUUGCGGCCACAGGUUGCGAAGAGGGCUUCUCCUCUGGUUCACUGUCGACCUUCGCUCUACAUUUCCUGCACAAAACCGUCGUCCCACUGUCUUCAUCGGUGCUAUAAUCCAUCAUAGGUUUGACAAUAGCGGGCCCUGUUAAAGCCGUAGGUGGUUUGUUUGAACGAAAAUCAGCCAUGAACCGUGGCCAAAAAUUCUGAUUCCGCGGGUUGCGUCUCAACCACUUCGGCCUUGCCUUUCCCUUUGUCCUUGGGUAGGUAUGCGUCGACCAUAUUUACUGUUGCCGUGGGGAACGGAUCAGUAUCAGCACUCAUCCUCUUCUCGAGAAACUUCAGUUUGCCAUUAUCAAUCCAGCUUUGGACGUUAUCGCGAAAUACAACGCAAUUGUUUGUCGUAUGUUUGCUCGAAUUGUGGUAUUUGCAAUACACCUUUCCUUUAAGCUCUUCGGCCUUAGGAAUGUUAUGACCAGGCCGAAGCUUAAUGAUUCUUGCUGAUAACAGUUGGUCAAAAAUUACGUCAGCCUUGGUAAUAUCAAAAGUAUAAACCUUUGACGGUUUCAAUGUUCCUUCAGUGGCCGAGCGACUUUUGGCUUCUCUAGAAUCAACCUGAGUCAAUGCCUUGCAAACGUAUGGCUUAUCUAUCACUAUCUCAGCCGCAUCCACACUAACGCAUUCAUCCUCGGUUGAUGCAUAAUUGACAGUAGGGUUCUUGUAAAUCAUUCCCCGAGUUGGAGUCUUCGAAGUCUUUUCCUCGCGGAGCAAAUAAUCAUACUGCUCAACAUGUUGGGCUAAUUCGUACAUAUCCCGAAAAUUUGCCCCCAAGAAUUUCUUUUUGUAUUCGACGUCAAGGCCAUUCAAAGCAAGCCUGACAAAUUCGACUUCGGGUAAAGGCACUCGGCACCAAUUCCUAGCUGAUUUGAUCCUGGUAAGAUAAUCCAUUGGUGACUCAUCAGACGCUUGAGCCAUCCGUGCUAAUGAAGAGACUGACAUCUCCAUCCCCGGCCGAUAAAACUGCUCGUGGAAUUUCUCGACCAACUCCUCCCAAUUUUGGACGGAAUUAGGAGGGAGAUUGAUGUACCAGGCAAAUGCCGAGCCGGUCAAUGAAAAGUUGAACAGCCGUAACUUAUGGACAUCACUAUUAACAUCUCCGCAUUGCGCGAUGAAACGAGCCACGUGCUCCAACGAAGACAGGGACGAUUCACCGGCAAAAAGACUAAAAUCUGGGAUCUUGAAACCCUUCGGGUAUCCAAACGUUUCCACGUAAGCUGGGUACGGAUGAAUAAACUUGGGAAACUUCGGCCCUUUCUUCAUGGCCGAGUCGAUCAUCCGCUGAACUUCGGUCAUAUCAACAGGUGUUGCUUCGAUCCUCUGGUCGGUUCUGUCUGAUCUACUAUUCGACCCUCCUCCUUUUUCCAAGUUAAUUGGUUUGAGCGGAGCAGGAAUAGGCUCGGCCGGUACAAUCGGUACCGGGUUGUUUCCUGGUGGACAAUGUUGGAGAAGAUCGAAAGGCCUGCUGCCACCAACUUUACUAACCAGCAUUUCGAGUAGCCUGGUUUGUCGAUCAUUGGAACUGAGUAUCGCGUCAUGCAGCUUGUCAAUGCCUCGACUGAACGUCUGCUCGACUAACCGAGACUGCUCGUCUAGUCACUUUCGGAUAAACGACCUCGUUGGUGGGUCAGAUCCUUCACCACCAUCCUCGUCACACUCCUCUACUAUCCCUUCAUUGAGAACGCAUGUGUUUCUGUUAGGGAUUUCUAAACCACGGAGUUGACCGCCGAGAUUAACUUCUCUCUCUCGGCGAGUCGCGCUCGUGGACUCAGGUGUCGUAGUGCUAAAGGGAUUCUGCGCCUGUGGCACACUCUGUCCUAUGCUCUGACUCGACAAAUCGGCUGUCGACUUUCCCAUAACUGUUUUAUUUUUUACCGAUCGUGUUUCAAUUGGCAUGAACUUCGUAGUUUAGCACUGGGUCCCACUGGGCGUGCCAAAAUGUUGACCCUAGAAACUACAAAGCCUACGUGGCGCGCAGGCCGAGUAAUCUAUAAGCUAACUACGUCCUUCGGUGAAUGCGGGGCGUGCCAACUCGUCGGCCGAGGAGUAAAUUUGUUGAUGUUGCGUUGGGUCGCGCUACUGACUUCUGCGUCUUGCGAUUGCGGCCGAGAAAGGAACACGUCUCGGCCUCUUGGGCUCUCGAACCUGAAGACAAGGUUACUAUUCUUACGAAGUUCAAUAUCAAAUUCGGCUUUCAAUGUGCCGAAUGUAAUAACUGUAACACCUCACUUUGCCGAGAAGGUUGAUGAGAUGACCUCGACCAAUAAGGAUUUAGAAACCCUUCUCGACCGAGACUUGGAUAGGUAAUCAAUCGUUCUCGCCGCAGUGCUGUUGAUGCCAACGGAAGGUACUGCGAGACCGACUGACUCUACGGUGACAGAGCUAUCUAUGUCGACUUAAGAUAUCACCGGUUGCUUCCACAAUGCUGUUGAUGCCAACGGAAGAUGUGUCAGCGAAAAAGGAAAAAGAAAAAUCACAAGUUGUGAGAAUUUGCGCAGGGCAAUUUUGUAUUCAUUUGCAGGGCUUUGAAUGAUGUGCAACCUCUUCUAUUUAUAGCAAUGGCCCCCCCUAAGGUCGAGUUAAAAACCUACUCGGACUAGGUUUUCUUCCCCUGAUCAGCAUCAACUCGACCAGUCCUACCUUCACUAGGACUGUGAACUUAGUCCUUUAACUGAGCCGGAUUCGUUUCCGGGUUCUGCCGAUACUCCUUAUUGCACUAGGAUUCGACCUCUUGCGUUAUGACCUAGCCGACCUAGGUUUGGAGGCCCACGUACUGAACGAUCCAUGGUAUUCUUGUCGCAAGGCCUUCCGGGCCGAGAAUGACCCUACACUCGGCCCAAAACUGUUAUUUUGGGCCCAAACAACUUGCUAUGAGAAGACAGCUAGAGAAAACUCAUUUACGAUAAAUAAUAUGUAGUUUUGAUUAAAUUUUGUUGUAUGUUAAUGUAUUCACAUUUAUACUUUGUUUUUUAUUAUCAGGGAACUGAAAAGGUUCAAGCCAUAUUCUUUAACAGGUCCAACAUUCGAGAGCAAAACUUGAUUCGUGCAGACGUUAAAAAGAUGUAUAAUAUGAGAUUGCUCAAUGUUGAUAAUUCUAGCUUGUGCUUGGAAAACCUCUCUCUCUUCUCGAUUCUCUUCGUUAUCUUUCCUGGGAAGGAUAUCCUUUGAAAUCUUUGCCCC